GCGCUCCCCGUGCUCGCCGCCCUGCAACUUGUGCGCUGGGAAGCGCUGCCAGGAAUAGCCCGGCCGAGCGGCUGCGGAGCGCGGCUCCCUCCCUCCCUCUCUCCCUCCCUCUCUCCUUCCCUCCCUCUCUCUGCCUUCCGCCCGCCCGCCCGCCGCCUCGCCGAUGCCGGUCUCUGCCGAGCGGAGGGAGAGCGAUGAUCUACCUUAAGAUAAAUACGUGAAACAGACGCCCCUUUGGCUGCUGGAAUACCGCUGUCUGUCUUUAUAUAAAGCAACGCCGCCGGCCACCUCACUCCGGCGCGGAGCGACGAGAGCGCCCGGCGGGAGCGGCGGCAGCGAAAGGGCACCGGGAGGGCUCUCCGCGGCCACUCGCCAGGGUUCUGUAAUUCCAUUGUUUGUUAUGUGGAGGUGAUGGAGAGUGAAAGCAUGGUCUGAGGAACUCAACCCAUGCCCUGAAGCCUGCAGUUGGUGUGCUGUUGCAACCAAUGGUGGAAAGGUAGGGUAUCUUUUUAACAUGCCUGAUGAAUAAUAAUAGAAUAUGUAGCAGUAAAUUUACUGUGUAAUCCCGAGUACCUGAGACUUUGCCAGCUGGAAGGAAAGGGAUGCAUACUUUAAUUGGCCUCCCUAACCAUAACAGUGCACCCCUUACUACUUCUUUGAUCUGGGUCUCUCCUGACUGCCUCUUUGCCUGAGUGACUGGCAAACUUAUAUGUGAUUUGCUGUAAGGCACACAACUGUGAACAAGCACCUGGUGUGUAGUAGCAGCUCCUGUUUUUAAUCAGCCUUUGGAGUAGUAGGCAUAUGAGGAUGUCUGGUCCUGUGUUCUGUAAACUGGGUCUGGGUCAAGAUAGUAGACUUCAUAGUAAAAGAGCAGGAGGAAGCAUCAGCAGAGGGACAGUCUGUGGGGGAGAUAGGUAAAUUCAGUAUUCAAUGUCUGUAGCUCUGGAGAGGAAUCAUACUUCCCUGUGAAAGGGAUGUAGCAAAACCCCAUAACCUCAGGUAACUGACACUUGUUCUCAGCGCCAGCGUCUGCCUUGCUGAGGCAUCAUCAGGCUCCAGCCCUAGGCUCCCACAGUGCGAGCUGCCCUCCCAUAAUGUGGUGGGAGGGCUGGUAAGGUCCCACACAGCACCUCGUGGGCUGCCUCCUUCUUGCAAUGGCUAGUAUGGCUUUUCACAGCCCCUAAAACUUCUCAGUACAGCUUUUGGCUCCUCUACAAGGGCUUUUCAUAGCUGUAGCUCCUGUGGCUUGCUGCAGCAUGGGGUUUUUUUUUGUUUGUUUUGUUUUUGUUUUUGGAACAGAUGGUGUCUUACGUAGAAAGUUACUGUAUUUUUGUAUGACUGGGUUUUAUUUAUUUAUUUCCUUGUCUCUCCCUUUUAUUUUUUGAAGUAGGCUUAAUUUUGACAACAGUGCUGGAUUUAUCUUUGAUAUAUUAAUGUUUGUGUUUGUGUACGCGUGCAGUAUUUUGCAGCGCAGUGGUUGUGUUUUCAAGUGUUAAUGGGCACAUUUUUGUCAAAAGUGCAAUUAGUUUGAAAUUUGAAGGGAAAACAGCCCGUGAAGGAAGAUCUUUGAGAAGAAAAGUAAAUGUCGUCUCAAAUGAGCACUGUACUCACUGGAGUAAGGUUUUGUUUUUAAGUCAGUAGAUGGGUUUUCUGUAUCUAAUCUUUGUGUUGUGUUUUUUAAUUGAUAUCAUCUGGUCAAUUUGAGGGAAAAUGCUAUUCCCAUAAGGAAAAUAUUUAUUCUAAAUAUUAUUGUUGCCUAGGAUCUUGUUGAAUUCAUGAGAUACAGCAGCAGUCGAGUUGAUUUAAUAUUUUUAACAUUUUUAUAGUGUUUUCUCAUUGUUUCCAUGAAAGCAAUUUCAAUAAAUAUUUUUGCAAUUGCUUUUGGUUUCUUGAAAUUAGGUUACCUAUUGUUGAAAACUGCAGGUUCUCAAGCAUGGGUUUCAGAUCUGGUUUGUCAUGAUUAGACGUUUGAAAUAAAAUAUAAAUACUUGAGCAAGCCUCAAAAUGAUCACUUGUCUUUUCCCUGCUUAGCUUCCAAAAUGCCGUUUGUUCUGUCUAGUGAGUCUCCUUAAUUUGAUCCUUAUUUGUAAAGAUAGCUACAUUCACAGGGGUUUGGUUCCAUUCAGCCAAAUCACUUCCUUUUAUUCAUUUGUGUGUAUGUGUGUAUAUGUACGUGUGUGUGUGUGUGUGUGUGUACAUGGAAAACACAUAUACACACCAUCUGCCUGUAGACAGUAAUGCAUACCUUAAGUGAACAGGAUCAUCCCAUUUGAAAGACAAGGUUUAUGUUUUCAUCCUAAACCCAAGCCUUAUCUCACAGCAGCAUUUUUUUUUCUUUGCAAUGCAUUUUUUUUUUUCCAGUAACUUGUGAACAUGUGGCCUUCCAUAUAGAAGUGUUCUGAGGUAUAUGGGAAGAGAGACCGGGGGACAUUUGAGUGCUUCCUCAUGGCCCUGACUUUACACAUGGUUGGAUCGUGUCCUUUCACAGGGGCAGUCAUUCGUGGCCCCACAUCUAGACUGAGUUCCAAACAUGGUGAUAAAAAGCUCCACGCUUCUGUGUUCUCUAUCACAUGUGUUUUAAGGUAAAGGAUUCCCUGCUGAUGUUGGGCAGUUUGGAUCUUGUCAUCUUCAUUUGCCUUGUUUUCCUCAUAAAAGCAGCACAAGUUAUUUGAAUGAUCUGUUUAUAGGACUGCUUGAGAGAAUUCCCUUAAUAAUGAGACAGUUCAACAAAAAAUCUCAAGAUAAUGGCUUUUCCAUUUGCACCUCUCAGACAUUGUUUCAAGUGGAAGCAAAAGGAUUAUUAAAACCCUUGUAAGUAGUUUAAAUUCCCUAGUGAUACACCACAGUGGUUUUGUUCUAAGUAUUACACAGAUGGGUUGUAAAGGGUAAAAAUAUAAUUGAAUUUGUGUGGAUAUGUAAAGAUGUUAAAUAUUUUGUAGGUAGCCAACUUGAAGAGUUGUUUUCCAUAUAUAUUUGUAUUUACCACGACCGAUUUCUGUUGUGGAGUGAAAAAGCACACAUUUUCAUCAGUGUAAAAGGGCACCAACAGUGACACCAGUUCAGUUUGCAUGCGUCCGUUUGCUUUACGUUUUGAAGUUUUAAAUAAAAAACCACAAUAGAUACAGCUCUUCUAAGAAUAUUUUGUAUCAUCUAGAUGAGGUGGAACUUUCUCAUGUCAAACCAUGGUAAAGAUGGCAUAUACCCUUCCUCAACUAAUGGAGCAGGAAGAUGUGAUUAGCUGAAGACUAGCUUUUGGCGUGUGGAUGAGCGUAUAAAAAUGCUGCUGUUGCUUUCUGUAUUCCUUUGUUUAACAGACAAUAUAUGGCAUAUAUAGGUGUUCACAUAUGUAUAAUAAUGCCACACUGACAAACUUCAGGAUUAAGUCUCUGGUUAACGUCAGAACAAGCAGCAGUAGGAGUUUCCUUACGCUAUCUGGGCAAUGAAUCUUCAAGAUUCCACAGUCAAGCUGUCUCUGAACAACUUGACUCUGAAACAGGAUAGAAAAUAAAGCAGUUCGUAUCCAUGUAAAAGGGCAUGUUUUUAAAAGCAUUUCCAAAAUGUUUAGUUGAAAAGUUCGAUUGUAAAAAUGUUAUCUUUGACCUUAUUUUAGUAAAAUGAGCAGCUAGUAAUCCAGUGGUGUUGUAUGUGUCCAGCAACAGAUGUGAUUUAAUGUAACUCUGAGAUACAGGCUGGUGGUUCCCUAGUUUCAACUUCAGUACUCUGUUUUAUUGAGGCUGAAAGGCUAGCUUCAGUUGCUGGUGUGGCCAUAGGGUUGUUACUGCACGAACAGCAAAAAACCUCUUCAGCUAGGGAUGGUAGUAUGAGGUGAGGAUCGGGAUGAGUGUUUUCUGAACUCCAUAUGAUGUUUUCCAUUGAGGUACAUUGAAUUAUGUGCCGCUGUUUGAAAAUUAGCUUCUGUCAACUGGAGCACUGCUGCCCAGUCGGUCUCAGCAUGCAGAGGGAAGGUCUGAUGUCCCAGCACCCAGAGGAUGCUGUUGGGACAUUCUCACUGUGAGUGAAUGGUUUUAUCACUAUAUUUUGAUGUGCUGUUGAGACACUAAGGAAAAUGGUUCUAGAGCCUGUGCUGCUGGUAGGAGAGUGCUGUGGGUGAAUCCAUUGCCCUGUUCGAAGUGAGAAACAGCUGCAGCCACACUGCUUCCCAUGGCUGCUCUGAAUGGCUGUCCAGCAGUGGACACAGAGACCUCCCAGUACUCUCAUAUGAAUCCCUAAUGAUGCUUUCCAUCAAAAAGGCUUUGCAGUGUUUUUUUUUAAGAGGGUGAUAGCGGUGGGUAGGGCUGAAAGCUGGUCUCUCCCUCUACCUACCUGAUAAGGUUGCUAAUGAUUUAGUUAGGGUCAGAGGAGGAGUUACCGAAUGCUCAGUGGCCAUGUGCUAUGGCACAGCUUCUGUGCCUCCACAGUCUUCCAUAUACUGUGCUCUUAUUUGCUUCAGAAAAGCAGGAGGGAAAUUAAAUAGAAGCAUCUGCAUUCACUUUGCUGGGUUGUCAGCCAUCUCCAACAAGGGGAUCCUGUAGUUUCACACUCCAGUUUUUCCCUAAAUGCAUACAGAAAACAUGUUUUACUCCGUGGGAUCCAGAAGUGUGUAAGGCUUCAUUUCCUGAUGCUAGCAGAAGUAUGGGCUGCAGUGAGAGCCGAGUGCAUCCCCACACUGCAGUAAUAUUCCUUACACAAGCUGAACAAGAAAAACCAGAGCAGCACGGCUCCUGAGCAAAUAUUGUUUCUAGUCACAUAGGAUGCUUUGCAGCUGAGCCUGGUAACACGCUGCUCAUCUGUUUUGCUGUGCAAGCGCAGAGAAGCCGCUGCUGGUUCCUCCAAAAUCUCCCUCCUUGCCGCACGUUGGAAACGUCUGAACUUUGGCCCUCAAUCUGCUGACACCCUGAGGGAGUGUGAGUGUAAUGACGUCUUUGCUUGUUUCAGCUGCACAACAGGAAACACUCAUGGCCUCCCCGUCUUCCUGCACUGAGCAGCGCUGCCUUUUCUCCCUCCCUUCCCCUGUGGUGCGGCAGGCUCAGACCCACUUCCAGGUUGCACAGCUGUGUGCCGUGCCCGCCCUGUGCUGGGGCUGCCAGCUGCUCGCUGUCACUUCUGCGCUGGUGCCAGGUGUGGGGCAGCUUAUGUAGUGAUUUUCCCCUGGAGAAGAGAAUCCAGUUGUGUUGCAAUGGCUCGCUGCACAGAGCUUGUCACUGGAUGUGCCUCGGCUGGAAGGAGCAGGAUGGUCAGGCGAUGAGUUGCUGUGGGGAGGCAACUUGCAUAAUAUAGAGGACACGCUCCCAGGUGGGCACGCAGGGAUCCUGGAAUGUGGCCCCGAUAUUGCUGAGUAAUGCUGAGCGUGAACGGCUGAAGAGACUGCUGUGCCCUGGUGGAGCAGGGAGGCUCUCUUCUUGCAGAGCAUCGGCAGGAAGCCUGCUUAACCCUCUUUAGCUGUGGCUUUAUGCUUGUAACCAAAACAGGGAUAUGAGUAAGAAGGGUUGUUGAGAAACACGAGCCUUUUGCAGCUGGCUGAGGGCAGAGCAUUUUGUCUCAUCAAAGGCAGCCCCAAAAAAAUUAAAGCACUGCAGAGUUCGUACAAGAGAAUUAAUUGGUUCAAUAUUCAGCUGUUAUCCUCUAAUGAAUGGGGUGCCGGGGGGUCACUUGUAAAAACGAAGUACAUAUGCACCAGUGAAUUUGCAUAUUGUGGUGUGAGACGAGAUGUUGAUUAGUCUAAAAUACAGCGUCCUGCAUUUGCAAGAUUGAAUUAACUUCGAAUGUAUCCAGUUCUGGUGCGGUUGCUUAUUUAUUUGGUUAAUGUUGCAGAGGCAUAUUAUUAGAGAGCGGCUUCAGUCUGCACUCUGUAAUAAGCAAGUUCUGAAUUUACCUCAUUAAUCUAUCGCGCUACCUAGCAAAAUAACAGUUGUUUUUAACAAGCUGGAGUUAUGUAACAUGAAUCAUGCAUGGCAAGAUGCUUGCAAGCAGGGGAAAGCAAGAUGUGCUAAGGAAUAACAGUAUUCAGCCUUCUGCAAGAUAGGAUAUGACUGGCUUUGGAAAUUAAACGCUGUGUGUUGUUAUUCUCGGCCUUACAGACAAGUUCCAGCUAUUCAUUAUGAGAAUGCGUCUUGAAACAAAGUCUUGAGAUGGGAAUGUUUAACAGACAGAAGGGUGAAUUUGCCCAGCCGUGUGCAGUCCUUGGAGGAUUUUGUAUCCUUGCCUGCCAAAUUCUGCCCCCCUCCCUGUUGUUUUUCUUCUGGAAAAGCAGCGUAGAAUAAUGUGAGAAGUCUCAUAAAUUAGACUGAUUUCAUAUGUAAAAAAAAAAUAAUAAUAACUUGAUGAGCUGUGAUAGCCCCUAUGAAUUGUUAUAUAAAUCUCCUUUCUUCUUUUAAAUAUGCCCCUAUAGGGUCAUUAGGCAUGUAUACUCUACAGUAGUCCUCUGUCUCAAGAGAUUUUACAACCAGUUUAUGGAAAAGGGGAAGCAAGUGGUUCUAUGAAUGCAUUAGAAUCAAAGCAAUUGAUUUUAAGUCAAAUCUCUCUUUCAUAAUUUUUCCUUGACAAUUUUCUCUACUGUUACUCAGUUUUGAUCUUAAAAGCUGUACCGAGAUGUUAAGCCUGGGAUAACCUUUUCCUGUGGUGACACGGAUACAAAAAUCACGUAACCAUAUUGGGAAAUAAAGCACUGAGAAUAAUAGCCUUUAGGAAGGGAAUGGCAAAGAUGGUGGUUUGGAAAAGGAAUGAUUUAAUGUUCAUGAAUGUCUUUUCAAAUCGUCCUUCUCACGUAAAGCAAAUCUUUCUAUAUUUUUUCAUACAUGGAUAAAAUUACUGUAAAGUGUAGAGAAGGACUGCUAACCGCUGUACUUUGAGAUUUUACUAAUAUUAGUAACAAAUAAGCAAAAAAAAAAAAAAGUGCUGAUAUUUAUGGUUUUCAUUUCUCUGUUACCAUACAUGCUUACAAACACAGUGGCUGAUUACGUGUCAGGGCAGAUAGCAGCAGAGAUGUUAGAAGAAGAAACAGUUACGUCUCCAAGUUGCUCCUGUAACUAGCGCCAUUGCUAGCACUCUGAACUUGGUGAACAAGGGCUGAACAAGCCUGGAUUUUCUCAACACGGAUUUUCUCUACGUAGAUUUUCUCACACAGAAGGUCACUCAGGUCACAGACAAAGAUGUUGAAAAAGCAUUAUAAGGAAGGGGGUUGUGUUACUCUCAUUAUGUCCUUGUUUUCUAAACAAAUGCAGCGCAGCACCCCUCAGACGAAACUUGCCUUUUAGGAAAACUGAAGAGAAGUUUCAGUCUUAGAAUAACUUUAAUUUAUCUUAUUGGAUUGACUUAGUUUUGUAUAGCUGUGCAUUAUUAGGAGAACAGUAGAGCCAAGUGUAGAAGUAGUGCUACAGAAGGACACCAACAUCUGGUGGGUGGAGAAGGACCCUCUCCUGAAUUUGCAUGAUUGUUAACUAAAUAUAAAGUUCAUCAAAUGAUUUCUAGUUGUUUUGACUCCAGUACUCUUUCCUUUUUACUCCAUAAUACUUUUUUGGCUAGUAGUAAUGUCCUUUCUGAAAAUCUAUGAUUUCCUCAAUGCAGGUGAAUAUUAUGUAGAGGCAUCAAAUUAAAUUAUUGGCAUUUUUUUUUUUUUCACACUAUCAAUAGUAGCAAGGUCGCCAUUCUAUGAUGUGACUAAUUAGGAAGAUUGAAGUGUCUUUUGUGGGAUCUUCCCUUGCUCUUUGGUGGGACGUGAGGGCUGCUCAAUGGCCAUGGUGUGAGGCGUGGGCAGCACAGGAGGGGCUGCCCUUGGUUUCUACUGGAAUUUCUGUUGAGAUCAGGGCAACGUGAAUGAGCAAAGUAGGGCAAACAGGUGGCUGCUGUGUGAAAGAAAAUACCAUGAGUAACACUGCUGUGUAUGAGUGUGGUGGGGUGUCGGUGUGCACACAGAGAUUGGCUUGUCGAGGAGCAGCUCUCACAUCCUGGGGUCCUUGAAAUGAUCGUCAGAGGUUAAUAGUCUUGGUCAGAAUGCUCUGCAGAAAGAUUUCUUGCCCUGGGAAUUGUUGUGCGCAGUUGUCUCAUUUUCCUUUCCUCUCUUGAAAGCCAAUGUUAUCUUGUCCAUUCAACCCCGUAAAGUAUCCCCAGGUUAUCAAGUUCUUCUCAUAUUGCAGCAAAACUUGAAAUAAUUACCAAUUCAGCUUCACUAUUUCUGUCAGCUUAAAAAAAAAAAAAAAAAGAAAAGAAAUUUAAUUUACACUAAUUACUCAGAACUUGAGAUGCUCAGCAUGAAAGUGGCUAGGUGCAAAAUAGGAUUAAAUAUGUAAAGGAGAAAAAAGCAUUGUGUGUUGCAUUUUUCCUAUUUAAUGCUCUGUUUGUAUGUCAUUACCAAGCCAUCUGCAAGCAGAAUUCUCCUAGCAGACUGAAGCAGUUCUUCAAGAAAAAAAUUAAAAAUAAGAACAGUCAGGCUGAUAAUUUAAAAACAAAGAUUUGGUGUGAACAGAUUAAGAUGGGAGAGUUGUACUGAAAUGUCAUUAUUGCAGGCUUACCUUCUCUUAACUGUGGUACUCUGUGGUCCCCGGUAUGAUCUGAGGAGCCAAGCAAUGGGCAUGCUUUCUCCAUAUUUUGUUGCUGAAACACGAACACUUUGCAUCCCCAAAACUUCUGUGCGUGUGUCUGUGUGUGUAGGGGGAAGGGGGAAGUCAUCCUCUAGGUUACACUGAAGGUUGCAUAACGUAACAUCAGAGGUACAGGGACCGAGCUCCUCAUUGCAGAUAUGAGUUUUAGUAUGGAUUUCACUGGAGAGCAUUAGUGUUGUUCCUGUAAUUGUUCUCAACUCUACCGCUUGUCCUGUGUGGAUGUGUAACAGCUGUGGCACAGUCAGAUCACAGUUCAUAAUGCUUCUGCUCUUUGGGGAAUGAGAAAUAAAAGCUUUUGUGCAGUCCCAGAUGAGAGUGGCCACAGAGGUGGGCUGAACGCACCGUCACUCCUGCUGAGGUGAGCGCAGUUCUGCACUGCUAUUGCCAUGGUACGCAUCUCUUUGGAAGCACCAGCACAACACAUAUUUGUGAUCCAGAGAGUUUGUCUCACCAUCCAGAAAUGCGUAUGUUCUCUUUCUUCACCUCAGCUGACCCUGGCUUUGAACCCUCCCAAACCUUGGAGAUGUUUAUAGCUGCGCUUUGUUUUGUGAAUGGAAUUUGUUUUUCUAAGUGCAGCAUGAAGAUUUGCUUUAUCUGCAUGGAGCAUGCUUGCUUGAGCAGUUGCUUUCCACAGUGUGGCAUUUGUAGAUUAAAAUCUUUUCUGCCUUGGUGGUGCCGAUUCAGUUCAUUCUGCAGCUAGUCCAUUUUGCUAGCAUGCUACAGUAAGGUGCCUGGCUGCUGCAGUGAGAAAGGGAAUUUUUUUUCAUUUCCUCUGAGGUGUAGAUUUGAAAUGAAACUAUUUUUUUAAGGUAAUCUGAAAACUAGAAUGACACUCCAUGCUUCAACGCGUGUUUCGUUUCACCUGUAAAACUACUUUUAAUUCUUGUGUUUGCACUUGGAACUUGAACGCUUUACACUGACACUAGAAAUGACAGCCCUGUGCAUAGAAUGUACGUUUUAUUUUAUUUUGGCAUAUUUUACUGUCCACCAGGUGUUGAUCAGAGAAUUCAGCAGUAUACAGCUGCUGUGAUGUAGUUACUGUAUGUAAUACUCUACCUAAGGAAACACGGUCUAGUGACUAGCUGGAUGGGAGGGGUUUGAUGCCCGCAGAUUCAGUUCCUGGUUCUGCUACACAGCUCAUGCGUUUGGGGUAAGGUUCACACCACCUUACACUGAUUUUCAUGUGAGUUAAAUUCAUAAAUACGAGUUGUGCACAAAAAUACCCUCGCUGCGCAAUAUUCUCUUUAUGUCGGUAACGCUUCCUCACCUGACUGAGAUGUCACGUAGGCAGAUGCUGUGUUCUGCUUUUGAUCCAUACAGAGCCAGUAGGUGCUCUGUACUAACACCAAUUGCAAGACUUGAACCUUUUGUGUUUUUUUGGUGUGCUUUUAAGUGGCCGUUCUCUGAGCGAUCAAUAAUUGCGCUACUUACCAUGAGUACACUGCUGUUAAAGACCAUACAGCAGUCAGGCUACAUGCAGCUUCAGGGCCCAGUUCUGUCUCCUUUGCUUGGGAGUGAAAACAGCUAGGCUAAAGCAGAAUCAGAGACUACGAUGCUGAGAAGGGCAACUUGUGUAGAUCUGGGUCCAAAUGUUAAAUGCCCUGUUUAGAAUAAGAAGGGGUACGUUUUUUCCUCCCAAACAAACUGGUAGAAUUCAAAGUGGAUGUUUGUAAUUUAAGAUAUUGUGUUGUGUUGAGUGUUAAACAGCAGUGUUGAAGAGUGCAGGGAAAAGAUAUUUCUGCUGUGGUAAGAACUAAUACGAGCAGUGCAGAAUGCCCUGGUAUUACCCUGGCUUUUUUUUUUUUUUCCAACUUUGUGAAAUAUGCAUUUUGAAGUAUCUAGGCAGUUCGGAGAGUAACUGAACUGAGUAAAGUCUGGCAUAAGAUAGCAAGUGGGAACCCUAGAAAAUGUUUGUGGAUCUGUAGGGCACAGCAAUGCUUCCUGCCAGAGGAAGGCCCUAAGGACUCUCAUAGGCCUUGCCUGGAAGACUGUGUGGCAUCUGUGGCACGUAUGGGUCAUCAAGACAUCACAGGCAGCCCCAGAGCCACGCCUGUUCAUAGCAGACGAUGGUAUAGUCCUGAGCAGCCAUCAAGAUGCAGGGAAUGGGAGCAGGUGACCUCCAGACGUCCCCUCCAGCCUCAGCAUUGUGACCUGUCCCUCUGUGCCCAAGGACAGUGCAGUUACCUUGGCUUCUGACCUGGUUGGGAUGUUGUAGCAGAGCUCUGAGAAUAGCAAUUUGGGAAUCAGAGCUGGCUGUGGUGAGGAGUGCUUCAAAGUUAGUCUCUGCUAAGUUCUUUCAUCAGCAAUGCAUGCACCUCACUGAUGGACCUCUCUAGGAAACGUUGCUCAUCCCUGCUUCAUAACCAGACCUCGCAGCUUUUCACAGCUCUGCCCCCAGCUGCUUUGACUGGGUGAUGCCACAGGAUUGGGGCUGUGAAAGCAGCAGGGAGGGCUGUGCUAAUUUAGAUGAUUUAAAUAAUUGUGCUCUUGAUACUGCCCACUUACUUCUGUUUUGCCAGUGACCCUUCUGGCAUAUUCAGUAGGAUGUGCUGCCCGCUGGCCGUCCUUUCUGCUCAUCUCAUCUCCUGCCCUAGCAGUUCUUAUUGCUGGAAUGCUUCCUGCAUGCUGCAGCACCCAUCCUUCCCAGACACCUCGUUGUGAGCUGCUUAGCAAAUGCAGAGAAUCCUGUGAUGGGCAGAAAACAUAGCAUAUAGACCCAGUGAAAAGGGGAGCCCACCCUGGGCCAAGUAUCUGCCAGGUGUACCUCAUGCUUUCUUCACAAAACCUUCAAGUGCAACUUUAAUUCCAGGCAGAUUCCUAAGUUGUAGUGAAAUCCCUGGGUCCUGCACAUGCUCUUUAAUAUAGGCGUACAUUGUGAAUAGAAACAGCUUAAUGAACUGGAGCCAGGGUGGGGAAUUUUGGGACUCCUGCUGUUCUGCUUACAGUGUUUUGCAGGAGAGUUUAAGGCUGAGGAAUGACACCAACUGGAUUCACAGAACAAUCUGCUCCUGUUCUCACGAACUCCAAAUUAUUUUCCUUCUCACAUGCAAAGUUGUACCAAGAGUUGCAUUUAAAAACCCAUCUGCUGUCCAUAUUAUAUCAAUAGAAAGAAGUCUAAAAUUUUUCUAAAAUAUUCCGGUUACUCACUCCAUACUGCUGUCAUCUGUCUUUCAACUACAAGCCAUUUCUUGUAGUUGCACUCAAAAUCUUCCCUCAACCAACAGAUGAAACUCGUAGUUGCUAAAAGUGCAAAACUGGGAACAGGAUGCUAGAAAAUAGCAGUGCCUGCUUUUCAAACGUGUUUCUGAUAGUAUAAAAUACAUAAAUUGAUGCAAUAAUUUUUCCUUACUGAGUGUGGGAAAUAGUAAUAAAUUACUUUAAAAGUUUUCUCGUGUUUUUUUUUUUUCAUUAUGCUAAUAAUAUUUUGAAAUCUCAACAAUGUCUAUAAAUGUCUGAAUAUAAUUUUACAUGCAAAUAUGUAGUGUGUGAGAUGUAUGAUAAGCGCCGGGCACAGGGUGUUUGUAGGAAACAAACUGGUGCCUGCAGCAGCAGUUUGUUGUGGCUGUGCUGGAAUAACAGAUUCAAGGGAUCUUAUUUGUCAGUACCUCACCUUGAGGGACCCAGCGGGAGGUGUAGGGGCUGGGUGGUUAUGAAGCGGCAGCUGUUGAGGUGGCAGCAGAUGUGCCUGACGAAGAGCCAGCUAGAGCGCUGCGAUCCACAGCCAUAGGUGAGCUGUCGAGCUGUGUGUUGCAGUGCCCAGACCUGCUUCCUUCCCACCUUUCUUUAGGGGUGAUUAGGUGCAGACUUCAGCUUUUAGUAGUGUUGCAUCUCCACGUGCCUAUUUUCUCUAGGGAUUCUGUGGUGUUUUACCAGUUAAUGGUGCUGUUUUUCCCUUGAGGAUGCUAAUGGGCCCUCUCUUGUCUGUUCAAGCACAAAUUGGGAUUGGAAGGAACUUCUGGCAACGGUGGUGCAGUUAAGCUUGCUAUGUCUGUUAAAUCUCUUUAGAGAAAUUAGUAGGGAAGAGACAGGUACAGGCAUGCCAUUACACACAAUGUGGUUGCAGAUCUCUUUUACUGAGGAAACGAGGCUACAAAAGAUAUCUUGUGAGGAAGACAGAAUGUAUUCCUUUGGGAAUACUUGCUGAAUAGGAAGCUCUGUAAAAAUGGCAAAAUGUUGGAACUGUGAGAUACAAGUGAUUUAUUAUUUUCUCCGUGAUAAUAUCUGAAGGUUUCUGUGAAGAUGUAGGCUUCCUAGACUUGCAUCUUAAGGCACGCCCUAUUUACAAUGUAAGUAUCUCACAAGAUUAGGAGCGGUAAGAAACAUUAUCAUGGGAAUCAAAGACAGGUGGUGAGAUGCCUUCCAGUGUCAGAUCUAAAAUUCAAGGCAGCCGAGAGCGGAGUCCGUUCCUCCAUCCGCAUAAGGUAGCACUCCCAGCACCAGAUGUUACAUAGAGGUCAGCCUUGUGGCGCUGUGUGAGCCAUAGGCCCUACGCUAUACCUUCAGCAAACCUUGCACCAGUGAAGCUUUUGACAUAUUUGGAGUUUAUUACAUGUAUCUUUGCGCUGUGAUUCAGGCUUAAAUUUGUUUCAUUCUGAAGUUUAAAGGCCCCUUCUGACUUAAAGCACAUGGAUUUUUUUUUAAGAUUGAUGGAAUAAUGUUAGACGCUGCUAUUUUAAAAACUGUUGUUGCCUUGCAAAAGUGAAUUUCAUGUUUCUUUGUCUAAUAAUGUAUUCAGAGCACUUGGAAGGAAGUUUUGGAGUAUGGAGAUUUCUGCCCUGGGGAGGUAGUAUCCUGUGCUUUAGUUAGGUCAUGUCAGGCCAUUGUUUUGCUUUUCAUAUCAUAAAGAUCUUGUGUCUUUAUUCGCACUCAGCUGUGGACUUGAGUUUCCUGCAGAGAGUGAAAUAAUUAAGAACUAAUGCUAUGAAAUCGUAUGUCCUCCAUUUGUAGCUGGGUUUAAUUGAAGGCAAUUUUUAUAUACAUAGUAAUAAGUGAUGUAUAUAAGUAACAAGUAAUAUUUCUAUUUGUGGUGCUCAGUAUAGCUGAAACGCAGCCGGAUUGUUUUCUAUGUGAGAAAACAAACAGAGAGAUUCAAAGGUUUGUAGAACUUGGGUCUCUAUCCGCUGCCUAAUUUCAGCCCUGCCUGCCGGCUGCUGCUCUCCGCUUUGCCUCUGCUGGUAGAUCACGCCGGGACAGGGAUGGAGUUGGGCACAAUAGAUUUACUGGUCCAGAUAUGGCAGGGGAGUUGGCUGGGUAUGCUGGAGGGUUUGUCAGCAUAAGGAGCCAGUAAAGCGGGCUUAUGCAUGGGGUGCCAACGAAGGGUGUGCAGAACACAGAGCUUACUCUUAAAACCUGCUGUGGCUACGCAGAGUCGCGCAACCUUAAAUAUGGAUCUGGUGAGGAAGGGCACUCCUGGCUUAAAUUGAGAGCUUACGUUACUCUGCAGUUGUGGCAUGUAAGGGAGCAGCAACUCUCGAGGGAUUGCUGCUAAUGGGAUGGGCAAAGCCUCUCUGCCUUGCCUGUUAAGUCUGGGUUGGUGCUAAUGCCAGGGCUGGGGCAUGAACCUGAGUGAUGUAAGUAGUAGCAUCCACAGUCACAGCCUGGGGUGAGCAUGUGCCUGCUUUGCACAUCAGCUGGAUUUCCAUCAGGAUUUCUAGCACUGACAGCAGGACACUUUUCACCAGAACCAAGUUCAUCAUCAAACAGAAGGAGGCAUGCAAAGGGCAGUCUUGUUAAGUUUCACAUGCAUGAAGCUUUUGCUUUGGAAUGUGUUGUUCCAUUUCCUCCAAGUCUCCCUCGGGGAAACACCUGAUUUGGGUUUAUCCUGACUCUCCAGUUGUUACAUGCUACCUCAAGAUUGCAGCCACAGCUUCCGCCUGCACCAUCCUCUCCCUGGCUUCCCGCUGGUGCUGGGUGCAGCACAGCGGGUUGCCAGCAGAAAGCAGCCCUGGCUGCCCAGCCAAGGGUGCAGACGGAAAGAAAUGGCACCUGCUGCACUGCACAUCGGGGACAGGCCUAGCUGGGAGGAGUUGGCAGAGAUUGUGCUGAGGCUGUCUUCAUGGAUGGGGCAACAUCAGAAAGAGGUGCAACGCACAUUUGUAAGAAUAAAUGUGCAAAAUUGGUUCUUCUGGCUCCUCUUAUUGCAGACCAUCCUUUGCUGUGCAGAGGAUGUGCCCGUUGCGAGCUCUGAGCCGCCCUCAGCAGACGCUCUGUUACACUGUAGGUGCACAUCUGUGAUCUCAUCUUGAAAAAUACGACUUUACCUUCCACUUACCCUUCUGGAGACGGCUUGUCAGAGCAACAUGGUACCGCAAACUUAUCCUGCUUAAUGUCAGCUAAUUAAAUUCACUUUUGAAUAUAGUACUAAGCCAAUUUAAUUCUGUCUCUCAGAGCCUGCAGAGACGCUUGUGACUCUCGGAGGAGUUCUGUCUCUGAUUAGUGAUCAGAUCUCUUUGUGCCACUUCAGACUGUCUCUGUCUGUCUUUGUGUCUUUCACAGUGUGUUCUUAGGGGGCUGGGUGUUUUCCCCCUACUUUCACAGCCCCAACACGUGCCGUCAUGUCUAACAGCAUACUCCUUUUAAUGACAUUUGUUCUCUGAUACGAAACUUUCAUGGCUGUUGCUGGAAGAGAUAUAGGAUUUCUUGUGAAAUGCUCUGGAUGUUAGGUCUUGAUUUAGGAGGCUGUUUUUCGGAAGCGCUGAUCUCUGCAAGGACAGGGAUGUGGGUGACCUUCUUGCGCCGUGCUGGUGUCCCAGCCUCCGGAUGAUCGCUGCAUCGCAGCCCGAGCGCGACAGCCCCCAGUAAUGGUCACUGCCUGUCAUUCUCAAUGUACCUUGUGAUCGCUAACGUUCAUGAGAAUGAGGCACGGAAUUUAAAAAAGGAAUUAGUGAAAAAAAAAGUGAAAGGUCAAAGCAAGUCAUAAUGAGAAAGAGAGCAAAGCACUUAAUUGGGUAGUGCUGAUGGAAUAUAUCAUGCCAGUGACGAUCUGGUAGAUAUUUUUUGAUUCUGCCCUCUGCAUGAUUUAUUAAAGAAGGUCCAAGAGAAAAGUACUGCUUGUCUGUAGGUUUUCAUGCAGUAUUUUUCUUACUGCUUCCUUUGUGCAGCUUUGCACAGGGCAGCAUGUCGUAUCUCAUUUUGAACCCCUCCAUGCUGUCUGGUGGAGGGUACACGUACACUUCAAUGGAGGUUUCUGGUGCAGUGCAUCUUGUGUUUGUAGCUGCAUUUUCCUGCUCUCCUUGUUCCCCCUCUUUACUGAUUGCUUAUUAGUGUUAGGACAUCACAAGUGCAGAACUGAAUUGUUGUUCUCAGCCACGUAACUCUUGGUUACUGAGAAACUGCUGCUCCUCUUCAUUCCAGGAUGUAACCAAGGAGUGUUUGGAAACACUGCUCGAGAAGCAGCUUGCAUUGCUGCUUCACUACACUUGUUCUGCGCAGAGAAGAGACCUUCAGUGAAUGUGGAUAUCAGCCUGGUACAUUUUACAGGCAACGGAAUCAUCCAUGUUUUCUGUUGCCCAGUAAAGUACAGACAUGCUGUGGUGUCUGUAGUGUAGCUUUGGAUGUCACAAGAGAACUAAGAUAGGAGUUUUCUCACCUUUAUUGACAUAAUGCUUAACUUCUGACACAGGCAGAUGCCGGGAAAGUAAGACUUGGGACUGUAAUUCCUUUCUCAAUUCCUUCCAUUUUUUUGUGAGGAAAGGAGAAGAAAGAUUUAUUUCUUCAAGCAAGAUAAUGUGUUAACAGAUCAUAAGUUACUUUUUAAUUUUCAUUUUAAAAUAUGUUUUUCUGAAAGGCUAUUCAUAGGUAUGUACUUCUUUUGUAAUUAGAAGCUAUAGUUUUUUUUUCAAGAAUUUAUAAUAAAUUACAUAUAUCUGGAGAAUUCGUGAGGCUUACUACUUAGAUCUGAUUGUAGUAAACAAUUUGGUGCCUGUACCUAGCCAAUCUAACCAUGUUGGUUUAGGUAUUUUGUCCAUUUUAUGAGUUCUCAUUCAUUUUUCAAGUCAGCAAACAGUAUUUAUUGGAAGUGGAGAAAGUAUUGCUGAAACCUUGCUAAGUCCAAAAGCACAGCAAUGCCUUAUAGGCAUAUUCUAAACACCCAUGUCUGUAAGUUAUCUUCAUCUUUGUUGGUGUGAAUAUGCAGCGUGUGUUAAUGUGAACAUUUACGGUGCAAAAGAUUACAUAUUUUCUUCUUCAGUGUCAUACUUUAUUAUAAGAAAAUAAUACUUCGGGGUGAAAGAGUAACCAAUCUGUAGUUCAUUAUGUGUGAGUAUAGUUUUAGGAUUGCUUUCUGACCAGUAGACUCAGUUUUGAGAAGCAAUUGCAUGCUAAUGUGAGAGUGAGCUGACAGCAAACAAUAUAUUUCAGCUUCCAUUAAUUUUUUCUAACUGUGCCUAAUGUUUGCAUUUCAUUAAAAGUAGGAACAUACUGCGCAUGAAAAUGAAGGUCUUAAUUGAUGGCACUGGGGAUUACUGUCUAGCCUAGUAAAUAUACAGUUUGGACAAGAACUAUGUGUACUUUCUUACAAUUCUCUCUUUAUGUAGAAACUGUAUUGAUUUGUGUCUUUAGUCCCCAAUCCAUCCCCUACCAAGAUUUUAAGGGCUGGCUCUCCAGUGUAUUGCUGUCUGCACCAGCUAUUUCCAUCAUAGUCAGAGCCAUGUACUUAAAUAUCUCUUAUAUAAUUUACAUUUUCAGAUUUCACAAAGGCUUCUAGGCUUCUAAUUCACCCAGAAAGGCUUUGCCUUUGCUUUAAAGAGGUUCUUGUAGGACUUGCAAGUUCUGUCAAAGUGUAUUUUCAGAACUUUGGUAUUCUAGUCUUAGCAAAGGAAAGACGUUGGAAAGUCUCUACUCAAAAGAAUCUUUGUGAAAGGUCUUGAAAGUUGUCACAUUCAUAAGUAGUUCGGCCUCCUCUUAACAGCUGCUCCCCAGUGCCUUCUGCUCUAGAAGAAGUGCUUUUCAUUUUGAAGAGUUCUGGCAUUCUCCCGUGUGGUCCCCAAGAUCCCUCCAUCUCAACUGUGAGCAAAAAGGUGAUACGUGUUGAAUGUGCCUUGUGGACUUCAGAAUCUAGACCGUGGCCUUACCCUUGCUGAAUAAGAGGGUUAAGAACCUGUGAAGGAAUCUCAGCAAAAGGGUCCAGAGACAAUUAAACAGAGGACUCCAAACUUAGUCCAUGCAGGACCUCAGACAGUAUGGCUUUUGAAUGCUACCAAUCUGUAGCAGGCAAAACCUUAGUUUUGAACUAAUUCAUUAGACAUGCAUUUCAUUUGGUUCCUUGUGUUAUGAUUUAUUUGUGUUCAAGGUGUAGCUACUUUGUGAUCAUUCUUUUCUAUUCACGUGGUGAUUUAGGGCUUUUGUUUCCAAACACUCAUUUUCCAAGAUUACAGUUAGCAGACAACAACAACAAAAUGUUUAAAUAAAUUAUUCACCUGGAAAAUUCCGGUAGUUUUUUAAAACGUAAAUGAGGUGAUGUAAGUUACGUGAUUAAGUGCAAUCAUUAGGGAAAGACUGAUUAAAUUACUCCAAAUAAAUCUCCAAAAGAAUGAGUUGUGUGAUGCUGUAUUUUGCUGUAUUUUCCUGUUGAAGACAGCUAGCCAUUUUCAGCAGCAUCCUUUUAUGGUAAAGGUGCUACAGAUAAUUUCUUUGGGAGGGAAGGCUUUUUUUUUUUUUUUUUUUUUCUUCCCCCCAAGCCUUUAAUGAACGUGAAAUGGAAUUGGGAAGUAAAAUUUAAGCAGGUCAAUGGAAGGAUUCUAACACUGAAAAACGUCUAUUUUAAGGAAUCUCCUUUAUAAUGAUCUGAAUGUGAAGAGUUGGUGGUUAUCUACUCCUUAAAAGUUUUAAGUGUACUUUUAAAGCUGUCCACCAAAUCCAGAUAAUGCUUUCUAUUUCUUUUAUACUCAUGUCUUUCUGGUAGCGCAGAUAUGUACUCGAAUUCUAGCACUAAUAUUCAUAGCAGUUCAUGCUAAUAACAGAGAGUCCUCUGUGUCUGCUUUCUAGCAGAAUUCCCCAGGCAGACUUGUUCUGAAGCCCAUAUUGGUUAGGGCAGAAGUGCUGUGAGUUGUGCUGGGUGUUAGGCUGUAUUGGAAGAGCUCACAGGCAGUCGGUGCUGUUCAAACCACGUUCCCGUCUGUCCGUGCCAGGAUGUAUAUUCUUCACCUGCUGUCCUUCAGCCAGUGACUGCACUUGUUUUCAGCAGCCCCCAGCUGAAUUCACAUAGGUCUGUAAGCUACAGAAAGCCUGGAGUGGGGCCUUGUGGAGCACCUAUGAGUACACCUAAAUAUACUUUCUCUUCUUGUGGCUGCUUCUGUUUGCCAACUUAUGUUUGCCUGCUCAGAAGCAGUGUAAAUAGGAGAUAUGACGUAUUACCAUUGUGCCAUUGGAAGUAUACCCUUUGCAAGUAUAUAUAUUUUUUUCUUGUUUUCGACCAUGGAGUUCGCUCUUCUGACCUUAAGUUUGUUAUUAAAUACCAAAUGCAGAGUGUAGGAGACACUGACUUGCUUAGUUGGCAGAAAACGCAGAAGUAUUUGGUGCUGGAGUGCUGUGUGAUGUUGUGGCUGGCCAAUGAAGCGUAAUAAAUGCAAGAGCCAAGCCACUUUGGAGGUAUGAAGAGUCAGAGAAGCAUUAGAGUAAUUUAAAAAAUGUAAACUGUGGGUAAAAUCUAACAACAUCAUUUCUCUAAAGUUCUUUGUUAUUUACCAGACUUCCCUCCUGAAAACCUCCUACCCUAGAAUGAGAUGCAGUUUGCAGAGCAGGAGGAAGAUUGGUUUCUGUCUGGGGACACUCGGUUUAAAAAGACAGAACUCCGACUUUAUCUCUGAUGCGACUCGAGACCACUGUGGUUGUGUCUGUAUGAGUGUGCUCUGGGUGUAUUUUUGGGUAUCCUGUAAGUCAUUUUAUUCACACUUUCAAAAUGAGGGGACCCCAGUUAAUCUGCCUUAUAUAUCAAAGCUGGUUUUAUAGCUUUACAUAUAUUGCACUGUAGGGCUAGUCAAUAAAAUUUAAAAAUGAAUUUCUUAAUUCUUGCCCUCAUUUCACUCAAGGAGAUACAUGGUCCAAGCAAUUUUUCAUUUAUUUAGUGCUGCAGAUUUUAAGAUUUCCUGAACCAACUUGUUUCCAUCAGUUAUGGUUUUGCCAUUAGUUUUAGUAGGAAAAAGCUUUCCUAGCUUUUAAGCUGGAAAGUUGGUUUGUUUUUUCGCCAUCUACCUUUUCAGAGGAAACAGUGGUGCCAGUACAAUCUCAUUGUCCGUAUCUGCAUUUAUCAAAAUAUUGAACAACAGGCCCACCUAUCAAGUGAUUUUACAUAAUUAAAUUAUUACAAAUAACAUGACUGUAGUCACCGAUAGGAAAGUAAUUCUUUUUAAGAUCCUUUGAUGUCAAGAAAAUAGUUCAUGCAGGAGCUCCAAUGCUGCACCUUUUAAGCUGGAGAUUUUCAAUUAGAAAAAGGAAAAAAAAAAGGUUGAGCCCAGCUGCUAAUGCACUGGUGAAAGGUGAAAGGUAUUACCUGCUUGUUGAACACCUGGCAAAUGGAAAAGCUGUCCACCAGACAGUUACACUUUAUGCAUUGACAAUGAAAAUUUGUUGUCACUACCUUGAUUGCCUUCAUAGCGUGCCUGAAAUCUGUCCUGUAGCAGUGGCCAGAACAGUUUGGAGACAGCAGGGAUAUUUUCCUUGCCACUGUGAGUAGAAGAAUGACUUCUGUGAGCCUGAGAGGAACAUGGGUGCUGCUAACUCUAUGUCAAAGCACGUACAUGCGUUAGUAAAGCUUGAAGUAAACCUCUGAGUACGAUGAACAAUAUCUGGAUGUGUUAUGUUUUCAGGUGGGACCCUCUCCUGAUAUGUGACCUACAGCAAGCUACCCUGAAUCGUAUGAUGACAAUGUUAUCGCUGCCACAUCUCUGGAAACCAGUUACUCAUAAAUAUAUGGUAUGUGAACUUCUGCAUCUUACAUUAAGCACUGCUAGUUGGAGCAGCACAGUAACAAUAAUAUGAAGGUGCUAAAAGCUAUUGAAGUAAAUGUUAAGCCACAUGUAUAAUAAAUUACCGUCAGCCAUUCCAGCAGAUGUUUAUCUGCUAGGCCUGGUCCAUAUGCAGAAUGGUGAACUGUUUUAACUGCAAAUACAAUCUUGAAAAUGCAUUCAUUUACAGAUGUUGUUAGAAACCUACCGAUGUUUUUUUUGGAUGGAGUUAUACCGGUAUAACCAUGAUGUGCAGAUAUGCAGCCUGCUAUUCUCCUCCUCGAGCAGGAAGCGGUGGUGGUAUUGGCAUGAAGGGUUCUGUGCCUUAACUGUAUCGUUGCAUUUAAAGCACUACUAUUUUUGUGUUUAGGAAAGGCCUUUAAUUGCUUUUCUCCUUCAUUCCAUUUUCAGUUUCUGGUCAAUCUAAAUUAGAUUAAUUUCACACACAGUGACUCCCUAAAGAAGUGCAAAUUAACUCAAUUUUACCAAAUUCAGCCAGAUGAUGGCAGUUAUUCCCUUGCUGUUUAGCUGUACAUUAUACAGUCUUUGAAUAAGAUUUCUAUAGGAAUUAAAUCCAUAUAUUGAAUCUUUUUUCCUUAGCCUGUAAGACUAAGACCCUCACCUUGUGAAAGGAGGUUAUUUAAUUUCUAGCCUGCGAGGCAAAACUAGCCUGCUACCUGGCAUGUCUUUCUUUCUUACUCUUCUGAUUCAGGGACUGUAAAACCACAAGCAAACUGGCUUUAUGAGAACUGCUACAUGAUUGCUUUGUAUUCUGGAGUAGUUUUGUAGCAUACCACGUAACCAUUAGCAUGGAGCAUCUUCUGAUUUAUGGUUCCAGUCCAGCUCCCACUGAAGCUGGUAGGAAAAUGUUUCUUCAUGCUGAUGGGAGUUGAAUUGCACCGCAUGUGCCAUCUGAGACUUUUAAGUAAUGUUCCCCGUGGGAAAUUUUUUUUUUACUGAUAGCCACUUUUUUGAGAUCGAGUGUUAAAGAUAUAAGCAUAGAACAAAAUUACAAGGAAAGGAUUGUUGAAAUAACAUAGGAAAGGGCUCAGUGGAAGUCCGUGUGCAGAUUCAAGAGUUGUAAAUGGGUGAGGAGAGAUGACUGUUUGCCACAAAAGCGUUUAUCUGGAUUCUGUGUGCUGCAUUUUUACAUAUAAUUUGGGGGAUGUUUGUCAGAUGUGUGGCUGAUUUACUGUUAAUGUCAGUGAUGUAAGAGACAGAAAGUACAACAGAAGUCUUACAGGGAGUAGGGAGAGGAAAUUCAUGCUUCAUUAAACAAUUUGAUGUAUUUUGGGAGAGCCAUUCACAACUCAGAUAAUUUCUGAAUGUUCCGAUUAAUGAAGAAGUGACCAGAUCUGGCUCACUCUGGUUCUGCUUGAAGGGAACAUCCUGGAGAUUAGGUGGGAGAGCAUUGACCCUGCUUACACUGAAAGGGCUGCUAGUGUGUCUGUGUGGCCACCCAUGCAUGCCGAGUACAAUUAACACCAUAGUUUACAGAUUUUUUUCUACACGUUUGUUCUGACAUCUCCUGUAUCAGCCAUAUCUAAGAACCUUUUCAAGAUGAGCACAGGAAUAAUGAUUUCUGUUGCUCUUGUUUCUUCUGAGUUGAUUUAUUUUUUAGCACUCAAAAUUGCCAGUGGAUAUAUAUAGAUUUUGUAAAUAAGUCAUUUUGGUGUUUGUGGGCAUGUUUGUAAAGUAAAACUGGUUUGAAGAAAUAGAGUUUUGCAUUCUGUAUGGGCAGAGGUCUGGAGAGGAGCUGGUAGGCCAACUAGACUAGCUUCCUUUUGCCACCUUUUCCAAAGGUACCUUUUCCAAAGUAGAAUGGUUGUGUUUUGGUUGAUAUUUUCAUGAUUUUUUUAGGUGGAAGGUGGCAUAUCACUGGAAGAAGGGCCCUCUGAGGGGAAGGCUGAUGGGGAGGUGUGGUUGCUAAAGUGGUGACAGCUUGCAGAUCUGUGUGUUUGCUGGGGACGGAGAGGAAGCAGACACCUCUCUGCUCUGCUUCUGAUGAGCUGAGAACAAGGUGUGCUGUGUCUCGCACCUCAAGAGAACUUAUUAUAUGAGGUAAUUACCUCUACCCAAAUCAAAAUGAAAUUUCAUUUGUUGAAUGUAGGAAUCAGAAUGAAGGGUUUUUUUUGUUUUGUUUUUCCUUUUGUGUGUUUUGGUUUUCAUCUUUGGCUAAUUCUCAUACAGCGUUGCAACAGGAAACUAAUCUUCAGGAGCACAGCCCGUAAAAGAUAGGCCUUCUGAGGGACUGGACUCUGCUUAUUGCAGAGACCUUCCAAGACAGGUACAUUGUAAAAGAUUACAGACCUUCACAGGAAAUUAAAUUGGAUGUGAUGUAGUAAAAGAGUGAGAAAAUGGAAAGGACAUAUGUAGCACAUUUAUGAUGAUUAAGUGGUAAGAAAAUGAAAACAUACGAUGCAGUGAAGUGUAUGUAAUUUAGAUAUUGAUACACACUUUCUAGUAUUUUAAAUAAUCUGCCCCUCCUCUUCCCUUUGCUCUCUCUGUGUCAUUAUCUCAGUGUGGAAAAUCAUUAGCAUCUUGUAAAAUCAUGUUGAUUUGGGGCAUAUUAGGUUAUAAAGUGUUCCAAAACAAGUCUCAGUAGUAAUGUGGAGUGCUCUCCAUUGCAUCAUCCAGAGGAAGGUGUGUGGGGAGCCAAACUGGGAGUGCUGGGCAAGAGCUGCAAUCUUGGCUGGUGGCUCACCACGUGGUGAUAUGGUGCUGGUGGGACAAAACUCCCAGUCUGUCUCCUCCUCAGUGUCAGCUCAAUAGCGUGGGUGAGCUGGGCUCAUUCCUGUCCAGGUGCCUGUGGGCAGAGCACAGGUUUCCCUAUCAGGGAAUUCUUUCAAAGGGGACAGUAAUAACUUCCAACAUUUUAAUAACUUUUCUUAUAAGAUCUGGUUACCUGAAAUUGGAAAGGAUAAGCAGAACUCUGAGAGAUUUAACUUUAUUAAACAUCAUAAAUCCUUUCCCUUUUGACCCUAAUCAGUCCCCAGAGUCUUUUUAAUGCUCUUGACAUUGCACCGGCCUUUCAUCAUUGCACAAUAUACGUUUUCCUGUUACAAGGAAACCGGUGGUGAGAGCCCCACUUAAACCAGAGGUGAAGGCAGCAGCAGUAGGUUGGGCAGAAACUCACUGCCAGCAAAGAGAAGGAGGGAGCUGCACUUUGGCAGUACUCCUCAGCAUGUUCCUUCCAUCUGUGGAGAGGAGUGGAGGGGACCCGAGGGUGCCGGAGAAACCUCUCCCUGCAGUUUGUGAGAGCACUACAGACAACACAACAGUGCUUUUGUGCCUUGUGCUGGCACGGGGGCUAAACCUGCCUCAGAAAGCCUCCUUAUGAUUAGGCACUGCCCCACGUCCCCGGGGGUAGCAAGCAGCAGGAAGCACUCGCUGCAGGCCGGCCAGCUCAGCCCCAGGAGCUGUGGACAAGAAAGAGGUGGCUUAUGGCACCGGGAUGUGGGGACUGCCGGGCGGAGGUAUGGUGAAUGGGGCCCUUCUUCGCUGGGAAGGAGCCUUACCAGGUGGUCGAGGGAUGAGGAAUGAGAAACAAAGGCCUUCUUCAUAAAGCAGCUACCUGGGUUUCUGCCUUCCUGUCCAAGGCGCGCACAAAUCCUCCGGAAAGCGAAGGGGGAAUUCCCGGGCUGGUAGUCUGUCCUUCCUUGUGCUGUCCAGGAAUUCAUGUGAUGGGGAAGGCAUCCAAAGAAUCUGUCCCUAUGUGUAGGGAAGCUAAGUUCCCUCUUUUUCUUCCCUAUGUGCGAGUCAGCAAGUUUCUUCUGCAAAUGCCUUAAUUUUAAGCUUAAUGCUAUGCAAAUAUUUGGCUUUGGAGGUAAAAGCCUCAGGCUGGCUUCAGCUCACGGACUGGCUUCCAGCUGUUUCUACAGGUACUGAUCCAAUGUUUAUAUACACAAAUUGCUAUUUAUUUAUUUAUUGUGGUAACCUUUUAAAAGAAACUUGGAUAUUUGCCUAGCCUGUUUUUGCUUCAUACUUGAAAAUUGAUGUAUUUGCAAUGUGCGUACAGCCAUUUUCAGAAGCUUUGGCAAAACCCUCAGAUCUGCUGAAGAUAAUCGUGGUAGGCUGAAUCCUUAGAUAGCACAGAGUUGUUCUGACUGAUUUUUCCCGUAAAGAAGUGCCCAACACUUUGCUUACCCCUGGAAGCCCACCAACCUUGACUAGGAAACAAAGGUGUAGGAAGAGCUGGCACCUGCUGCAGGAGCUUUGUGCUGUAAUUUGGUUGUCUGGACAAGCAGUCACGGGGCAAGAGAACAUUCAGAAUGAGUGUCAAGAGUGCUAGCAAUACAUACGUUAACUAGGUUUCCAAAAUCUACUAAAAUGCUACCUUGAUGUAGAGCACAGUGUUCUAUCCACAUGUAUUUCACUUUCUCCAGCUCUCGUCUCAGCUCCUGCUUGCCUGCAAUCAGCCUCUUAUUAAAAGGGGAAAGUCCAUCGCCUUGUGGACCUUCUGCAAUGUGCUCAGCGUGUGAGCUAUUGACUUCAUAAAGACAAGAAUAGCUAUCUCAAAUGUGUUUCAUUUGCAUGUGGCAAGAUAGAAAAAGCAAACUCUGUGUGAAGACGAGCAGAUGAGAAAGACACUGAAUGCCUUAAAUGCUAAGGGAGUUAAUGCUAUGCAGUGAUUUUUGCUUCUGUUAUAGGAAGUGUAAGAACAGUACGCUUCCUAGCGUACAUCACCAUCUAAACUGCAAAGAUUUCAGUUCCAUGGCAACACGAGGAGCCCCAUGGUGCUUAAGGUGUACGUAUUAAUGCAUUCAGAGUUAGGGGCUGUUACUGAGAUGGUAAGAAUAAAACAUUCGGAAUAUCUCCCAUUUACUUAUUGAAGGCUUUGUUUAUAGAAAAUCAUCCACCCCCUCCCCCCCCCCCCCCCCGUAUUGUCUCCAGUCCUUUCUAUGUGUGUUUUUUUCUCAGACAAAAAGCAAAUGAAGCGAUUGUUAACUGGUGGUAUUUUUUCCAUAAGACUGUUCAGUGCAGCAGCACUUGAAAGUUGCAAGAAAAUGCUGUUGAUUUUUGGUACUGUUGUGUAUCUCUGGAGAGGAGGACUUGGUAGCAGGGGGGGAUUAUUUCUUCCCCAAGAUGUACUGCUUUAUAGACCAGAGUGAAGCAGUAUUUGGGGUUUUUUUAAUCAUUGUUUUCCUUAUUCUUUUUGAUCAGCCCUCUUUCUGCCUUUCUUUACAUCGACAUCCAGUUUCUCCAGUCUGAGGAGCAGGAAAUACGACUGAGCUCUGUUUCCUGGCAUCCAAAGAAAUAUACAAGUGCAAGGAAACAGAGUAUUUUGUUUCUGCCAGUUGCUUGGGUUUGCAAUGUGUCCCCAGUAAUGCACCUGGACAGAGCCUGAGUCCCCCUCUAGAGCAAGUGGGUGAGGGGCCAGGGAAGAACCCAGGCGAGCAGCAGGGCUAAGCUGGCACAGGAAGACUGACAGAAAUGGGCAAGUUGAACUGGUUUUACAGCUGUUUUGCAUUGCUGAAACAGGCAAAGCAGCCAGAGUUAUCGGUGGGUCUGGCCUGUAGAUUUCGUCAAGAUUUCUCUGUGUGACUGCAGAGAGAGCACAGCGCUGCAUUUGGAGGCUGGUUGGCUGUUUCCUGUUGCUGUGCCAGGAGGAAUAAAUUCAUCUCUCUGUUAUCUCUAUCUGUAUCUCUUUCUUUCUUUCUUUUUUUUUUUUUUUUUCAUUUGCUCACAACAGGAAUUUUUUUUAUUAAAAAUAAGGCUGUCAUUCACUGAAGGGGGAGGUUUUGCCUUCAGGAGUGCAGCACAACCCAAGUAAAUCCUUUCUGAGGACAUAAGGAGGAAUGAAAUGAUUAAGUGACACUGCACUGGCACUCUGCAGAGGGCCGAUUUCCACCCUUGGGCAGCAGAACCACAAAGCAAGGAGGUGUUGCAUGUACACAGCAUCUUCUAGGAGAGCUCAGCACUGGGAGCCCCGGCCAUGUGCUGAUGUUGCUUGUCCUUGUAGUUCUUGCUUAAAAAAAACCCACACAGGUGGAGCUCACUGACUAUGUGGCUGUACAAUUAAUGCAUGCUUGUCAAAUGACAUGGGGCCUCAAAUGAAGAGCAUUGUUCAUUCAUGGGCAUCUGUGCGUCAGUGUCCAACCCAGUGCAGCCUCUGGGUAGGCCAGAUGCUUUGGGGAGCACCUCAGUCAGUGUGGCAGGAAGGAUGGAGAGAAAGCACUGAGAAACUUCAAAGAAAGAAAAAAGGGAGGAGAGAAAUCAAGGGCAGGAAGAGAGAUGAGUGAGGAAACAGCAAAGGCGAAAGGGCCAGCGGAGAACAACAGGGGGCUGGGAAGAACACAGGGCAGGAAGGAGAGAAUGCUUUGGUGUGCUUGAGAAAAAAGUCAUUUUCAGAUGAAACGCAGACAAAAAGGAGCAAGAAAAUUACAGAAUGUGAAGUGGGAGAGGAUAUCAGAGUUGCAAAGGAGGAGGAUUCAAACUGAUACAAACAGAAAAUAUGUAUAACGUGUAUGGAUUGAUUUGAUGUGUUGGCCCAGCCAAUUUUAAGUAGCGACUGGUAAGUCUGUAGCAGGAAAGGGCUGUGCCAUUCUUCAUGAGGAAGCUUUGGGCUGGUAGGGAGCAGCAGGGCCAUGUGGGGAGACUGCUGCAGGUCCCAUGGCUGGAGCUGGAAGCGUAUCACUCCAUCUGCAAUGUUUGCUUCUUUCUGUCUCUCUCUGCAGGGCCUGGACUGCUGCCAUCUCCCUCCUUGGAGAGCAGGGUAGUGGAGCACCUGCCACCAAGGAGAAAAACUGCCUAUCUUGCCUUCAAAGGCUGGUGGCCAGAAAGAUGUGUCUGGUUGUCUUCUCGUUUACCUGAGCUGCUGUUAGGCAGGCAGGUAUAAGGUCUCUGUCUAUAUCCCUCUUGUGCAAGCUAUCUAGGCUACCAGAAAUAAACAGCUGAAUGGAAAUUUUACUUCUGGCUGUGAAAAGUGGCUUUUGAAUGAAGUCUACUUCAAAUAACAAAUGCCUUCUUUCCUCCUCCUCCUCUCCACCUACUUUGUUCCUAACCAUUAACUUUUCAUGUCACUUGAGCUAAGUUCAGUGUCAGACUCACCAGAUCCUACUGAAAAACACAUCUCUCUUUUGUGGCAAGCUGAAGAAGAUGAGAGGCUUGUGGUGUUUUUCCUUCUCAAUCUUUGCUCCUCUGGGAAAAGCAGCUAAGGCUGUGUGAAGCUGCCUCCUUCCCACUCUGCUCAAAAAUGCCUCUCCAUCAACUGCUUUGAAGCUUCUCUUAAGGAGGCUCGGCCUGGCCUGCUCAGUGCCAUCAUCUGCCAGGGGAGGUUUUCUCAGCUUGUGGUGGCUUCCAUCGUGGUAGAAGGCUGCAGAAGAUUGCUGUGGAAUAAGUCAUCAUCACCACUAGCUAUGCCAUUUGAAAAUCAUUACUUAAGCAUGAAAGAGAAGAAAAAGAUGAAACAUUAGGAGAUUUAAACCCUACCCAAAGCUCCAAAUAAUUUCUGCCAUUUCUGCUUUCUGUUUCCUAAUCAUAGGCUGCUUCUGCCAUGAGAGGAAAUGGCAGUCACUGGACAGUGGUGCUUGAAAUAUUCUGCGGCGUGCACUAAUACUUAUGGUAAAGAUGGAUGUAUUUAUGGGAAACAAAUGGAGAUCUGAGCUUUCCUGGGGACCUUAAUGGUAUUAUCUGUUAUAACUUACGUGCUAAUACUUGCUUAUUUUGAUCGGUGCUGAAAAACAGGAUCAGAAAAUAGAAUGUGGACUUUGGGUGCUGUCACACAAUGAUGAGUCAGCUGAAAUUGAAGCCAGUUCAAGGUUUAAGUAUGAUCGUUGAUGUUCUUGAAAAACAAAAUCUCUCAACCAGUCAGCAGCUGAGUUUACUUCUCAGCUGUUAGACAAAAGCCACCCUUUGCAGGGAUGCUGUGUGACAGAAGGAACUCUUUCCUUUUCCCUCACCUUGGCCAUUAGUCCAACAGUUAGGAAUCAGAUUUAACCCUUGGUGUUCGUUGCAGGCUUUGUGAGUCUUUUCCAGCAUUGAAAAAAGUAUUUUUGAUAGACACACUAGUUUGUUGAUUUGUUUGCAAUCAGUUUUCCCGGAGGUUGCUGUAAUGUGGGAGGAACUGAGUUCUUUGGGUGCAAACGUUCACUGCUGACUCUUCUUAGUCAUUAGAUGUUUUUCACAUUAAGGUGCUUUUACUUUUAUGGGAAAAUGUCAAGCAUCUUCUGAUAGUAGGCAUUCAAAUUGACAGAAGCCAUUGGCUGGGGCCAAUGCAGCAUCACGCCAGCACAGACCUCGAGGGGCCUGCAGAGCCCUGUUCCCACCCAUGCACCCCUGCUUUACCUCCUGAACCAGCCCUAGGUCCGACAUCCUGGUACCGACCUACAUCCAUGCUGAUGUGCCACCAAACUGAAAGAUGUCACUGUUCUUUUCCAAAAAGAACGUGUCUUUUUAUACAGUUCCCCUGCCAUCUCUUUUUAUUUUCUAACUGCAGCUCUUUUAAGGCUCCCUGCCUUUGCAGUUCUUGCCUUUGUUUAGAUUAUUUUUGGAAACUGGGGAACAAGAGGAGGGAUGAAGUUCAGGGGGCUGACUGUACUAGGAGGCCGAAACUCUUUCUGUCUGUGUGCUCUUCCCUCUUCUUUCUUCUCUCCAUGGCAGGGCAGGUUCCAGGGCACGCCAUGGCCUCAUGCACAAAACGUGGCUGGCACAUGUGCCGACCCCCCCUUCCUUCCUGGAACCACCAUCAUUGCUCUUCUGCUUUCCUGGGUCAGCUGGGCAAAAGGUUUGAGAGCUGUGAGUUUUGAGAGCUGUGGAAUACUGGGGAGCACUUGCACCUUAAGGUAAAUUGUAUGCAGAGAGGAAUGUGUUUCCUUUAUUAUUUUUCAGUGAGGCAGCCCCACAAAGGUUGUUGGCCUUUUCUUUAAGUAUUGUCGUGUUUUUACAUCAGGAGUGUCACACACUGGCUGCCAAGCUUGGCAAGAAAAUCUACAUUCUCUGGAAGCCUGAGGAACAGCAGCUGAAGCCCGAAGGCGGCUUUCUCUGCAUAGGUUUUUUAAGAUAGUUAGCGCUUGGGAAGUCAUUGGCUGUGAGAUAGGUCAGGCUGUCCUCUUGAUAGCUGAGACAGUACUCAGGUAAUUGAGAUACUUGUGAUUGCCCAUGGAAAUUUGCUGAUGUUUAUAAUACUGUCAGGCGCUAAAGUCACUCCCUAACAUUGGUUGUGGGAUCUUAUAGUGGAUCAAUAUCUAAGCACAAUGUGGGAAUUUUCCUCACAUACGUAUUUUUUUUUUUCUGUGGUUAUGAAGAUGCCUAAAUAGCAGUAUGCUGCAGUAAAUGUUAAACAUUAAAAACUGGUUCUGUGUGUACUGAUAAGAGUAAAUCACUAGAGAAGGAAGUAACCUGAGUUUGGCUGGUGAAGCUGAUGCAUCUAUGGUGGAAAUCAAAGUGGGGGAUGAUCACAGUCCUAAUUCUGUCUUUGGAGAAUAGAUUUGAGUCAACAAGAAGAGAGAAUGAAUAUGACUUUUCCCUGAAUUAAAAAGGGAGGGUAGAUGAUUCUGUACAAGAAGCUGCACAACUGAUGCAAAAAGUGAGCCAUAUGUAGGGAGAGGGUAAUCAACAGAACAUGAAAUACUCUUUGAAAAUACAUUGAAAUUGAGUGUUGUUUGUUGUUGUUGUUGUUGUUGUUUUUAAACUGCUGUGCUGUAGCAGAGAUCAGUUAAUUCUGUGAUUCUGUGAAUGGUUGUGCAAAGUGGUCGCUUAGAGGAACCAUAGAAUCAUAGAAUGGCCUGAGUUAAAAAGGACCACAGUGAUCAUCGAGUUUCAACCUCUCUGCUACAGGCAGGGUUGCCAAGCACUAGACCAGGCUGCCCAGAGCCACAUCCAGCCUGCCCUUGAAUGCCUCCAGGGAUGGGGCAUCCAUAAUCUCUUUGGGCAACCUGUUCCAGGGUGUCACCAUUCUCUGAGUUAAAAACUUGAUCCUAAUAUAUAACCUAAAUCUCCUGUUUCAGUUUAAAACCAUUCCCCCUUAUCCUAUCUCUAUCCACCUUCUCCUAUCCCCCCUUGUCCUAUCACUAACCAUCCUUCUCCUGGCAUUCCAUGGUGGAGCAUGGACGCCCUGUCGGCAGGAAUUUAUUGUCACCCACCCCAGUGCUCAUGGCUGGCGCUCAGUGAGGUCUUCUGGGGCUAAUUAUUUAUUUAAUGAGGAGUGGUCACAGUGGCACUAUGAGAAGGGCAGCCCCGCAGCAGGAGGUGUCUUGGAGGUAAUCCCACUGCUCACAGAUAGGCUUCUUGUGCAUACUAUAAAUAAAUAAAGUAAUGAAUAACUGUAUGUUGGCAUUUUUGUUUAAGCUUAUUAACAGUGGCUAAUAGUAUUGAAAGUGCUUUGGGUACUACCAUGCUUUGUAGUUCUCUAAUUUCUUGAAGAAGUAGUUGAAAGGCUUGAGCAGCAAGUUAAGAAAUCAGGUUGCUGCUGACUGAACUUUUGAACUUUUCCUAACAAAAGGGUAGGUCCGCGAGAGAAGAGUCAAAUUUAUGUGUGUGUACACAUGAGCAGUCCAGAUGAUUUCACUCCAAAGAGAGAAAUCUUCCUCUUUUUAGGCUAAAUAGGCAUGACAAUGCUGCUCCUUAGUUCCACGUGUUUCAAAGGUAACAGUGAGUGCUGGUGAUUCAAGGGAGCCUCAGGAAGAAAGGAAUUUGAGCGUAACUUAAGAGAUAAAAGCUAUUGUUUGACACGAGAUAUUUGGAGCGUCUCUACAAGAUUUUAGAUUGUGUGUUGGUUCAGGAAAGAAGAGAAAGCAAAGCAAUGAAAUCCUGUGGUUAUGCUUUUAUCAAUACAUUUGAUUUUUUGGAAGAAUGCAUUCUGGGUCUGAUCCUCAUCUUCUUUCCCAAUUACUGAUUAAUAAGAAAUAAAGUCUUGCAGAGAAAAGCUUUCAUGCUUUUAAAUUUCAUGGUCUGUAGCGAAGGACAAAAUGAAGAAAAGAAGAAGGACAAAAUGUUUUGAAAAACAUGAGAAAUGGGCAGUUUUGAUGUACCAGGCACAGCUCAGGCUGGGCUCAGUCAGUGCUGCACUGCAUUCACUGACUGCCAACUGGGCCCAUUCCCCUUCAGCCCGGUGAGGUGGCAUCCUGUGCAUGCAGUGUCAGGAUGUUCCCUGCCUCCCCCUGCCCUUCCUGCAAUAUUUUAAUUUCACUAUUCCAGCCGAGCAGAAGCUGUCAGCAGCAGCAUCUGGAGCAGCCUUGUCCUCGAGUGAGUGGCUCUUCUCUCUGCUUCAGGGCAGACAGCGGCAUUGGCAAGGCUGGAGCAACAGGACUUGGAUUUUGGGAAGUUUUAAGCUGGUUUAUGCCUGUGUUUUAAUUGUAACAUUUGACUGUAUUGAAUAUAGGAACUGUUCUCAGCAGGUCUUUGUAUGCGUGAGGCUGUUUGAGCUGGAAUCCUGUGUUACAUUGCUGUAGGUGGAUGCUGCGAUGAGGGUGGUAAAGGAGAGCAUCUUCCCUCUGCUGCCUUUCCCCGCUCCCCGCUUUCUGUAAUCCCCAGUCAGUCUGUGCCUUCCCUGGCCAGACAGAAUUACAGUAGGUAUACACUCGGAAUCGGGUUUUUAUUGUCAGCACCUGUGAGCAAUCAAAGCUUGUUUGUGCAAAUUCAAAAUGAAACUUCAAUCUGAAAUGGGUGUGAUUUCAGAACAGCUUGUUUGCAGCCAUUGUUACUCUUUGCCAAGAAAUAUAAGGCUUUACAGUAACUCCUAGGUAUUGCUCUAGUUACUGUGCACUAGAAUAAACCCAUCAUGUUUCAUGUCUGACUUUAUUUGGUCCCUUAAAGCCUAGUGGCAUACAUAUGAUGCGAGCAGACUCAUGAGACUACUGCAGCUGUAUUAUUUUUCAUUACCGUGUUCUAAAAAUUCAUGUUAAGAAUUUUGGUGAAGAAUGGAUCAUUGACAUAUUUUUAGUUAAUAUCUUGGAAUAGGGAAGUACACCAUCCUCAACUUACAGUCACUCAGCUGUGAACGAGCUAGAUACGGAGUGGACCCAGAGUGAAUACAGAGAAAUGAAAAAUCCUCAGAUCACUUAGUUGCAGCUGCAGAUGAGAUUUUUGCCAUCAGGUGAUAGUUCCAGAAUCCAGGUUCCCGGUGUGUAAGAAGAACAUCCUUACUCUGAUGGUUUGAUUUGCUUUAAAACUUUGACAUAAGAACUGUUGUUUACCGCUAGUAGUGCUACCAACUGGAACCAGGGUAGACUGUUACACAGGUAGUAGUAAGUUGACAUUUAACUAUAAGUAUACUUAUUUCCAAAGAUAAAAAUGUAGGCUUUUAUGCUUAAUAUCUGAAAUAAACUCACUUCCCUCCACCAAUUAUUACUUACCUGAGAUUUCAUCAGAGGUGUUUGCAUGCACAGGGAGAUGUCCGAUUCAUACUUUCAUAUGGAAAAAAUAAGUAAUUAUGUAGCCUCAGCAGACUCUAUUUCUAUGGUGUUUUAAUUUCACUUUUCAAUUAUAAUCAGUAUUACCUGUUUUGUCACUGCUAGCAUGAGAAGAAAAGCCCUAAGAAACUGAUGUGCAGGCAAAAGGAGAAUAGCAUAACUAUUUUUAUGUUCCUUACAUCAGUGUCCCGGUUUGUCUAAUGUUGUAUGGCACAGUGACUCCAGUGCUCCACACUGUUCUGUCCUCAGUGAGCCAAACAUCUAUUCCAAGAUUGCUGUCUGCUUCACAAGUUGUAGAAACUUUCGAAAAAGAAUUUGCUAAUUUGGGGUGCUCAUUCAUUGUCUGCUUGGAAAGCUGAUUGUCUCUAUGUUUUCAGCAAACAAUAUUCUUACACUAUCCUUACAAUGUCCUUACAAUAAUAUGUAUUCCUAAUGGAAUUCUUUUGGUCAGCAAGGGAGAAUUCAUCUGCUUAGGACUUCAGAUGCUUCAAUUCAGAAAACCAUCAGGAAGCACUGCUGCACCAGGGCACCUCUUCAUUCAUUUAUGCUUAUUUAGCUGGGUAAUGACAGUUACCAUUGUGAUUCCCCUUCUGUUCUGUACCUUUCUUCAUUUUUAUUUCCUUGCAUUGAAAAGCACUACAGUGUUACUACUGGGAACAUCCAGCACUGUUCCUGCCAGUCCCUUAUUUUUCCAUAUGCCCUUUCACCUCAGAGAGAGCGCCAUCACUGCCCAUCCGUCAUGUCUCCCAUUCAUACCUAUUCUGUACAAGGUUUGCUGGGUUUCUUUUUGUUUCAGGAACACGGGCUUUUGCAAAGCCUGUUGGCUUCAGAAGCACUUGCACAACUUGUACUACGUCUACUAUAUCAGAACCGACAGAACUGGCAGCUCUUUUAAAAAACAAAAACAAACAAACAAAAAAAGCCCCAAAACAGGUAAACCUGCAAAAAAAAAAAAUUAAAAAAAACCCUCUUCCAAAUGGAGUAAUAUGCCUGUUAUAGAGAAACAAAGGCUUUUGACUCUUCCUUGUUCAGACAGCCCCUUGGAGGUAUGGAUUGCUUCCCCUUAAUGAGUAUUGACCGGGUCUGGGAGACACAGCACCGGGAUCUUCCAGAUGGGUGCCUGCUGGGGUUAACCCCUUCUGCAUGUCAGCAGGAGACUGAACUUCCAAGCACUGGGUUCCCAGCCAUUUGAAGGCUGCUGGGCUGCAUGCGCUGAGGCUCUGCAGGUUACGGUGUGCCUGUGGUGUGUGAUGGAACAGGCGGGAAGUGCUGGGCUGGGGCACCCCGGGACACCACUGGAUGUGUCUGCUCAGGGCUGUUAAAUUAGGCCACGUGCACACAUAUAUAUGCGUGAGGGAAAAGUGGGGGCCUUGCAAAGCACUUGGGCUAAAAAUAAUGUCCGGUGUUGUUUUUACGUAAUAAUGCUAUCACAGAUGAAGAAAGUGAGGGAGGAGUUUGUAGCCUGGGACAUUUCUUCUUUCCUUUGCUUUGCAGGGUAAACGCUAAAGAUCCUGGAGUGUUUGUUUGGCUAAGUAAUGCUUUCCAGAAGUAUGUCAAUGAAGUAGUCAUUGAAGUCAUAGAAUACCUUCCUAUAUUUAGCAUUUAAAUAUGCAGUAGAAAGCCAUUAACUUUUAAACUCCUAAGAACCGUAAGCAUUCCUGCAAAGGAACUCAGAUGUUCAAGUGAGCCAAUUAAGGAUACGGAUUUUACUACUGCCAGAAUAGUGCAGUAAGUGUUGUGCCAUCAGUGGUUGGGGUAAGCUCAGUUACAUCCUGCUGAGUGUGGUUGCUGUGAGGGCACGUGCAGUAUCCUCAAACUGUUGAAGGGGCAGGAUUGCUGUGGGGUUAUCACUUGGUUAGUUAAUUUGGAGGACCGUGCUUUUCCCUAGAGAUUGAUACUAAAAAAUCCAGUUAUGCAGACCCGUACAAUAGUUUAUGUGAGAAAGGAAUCUCUGGGCAUCUUCUUUCCAGCCCCUGCUCACAGCAGGUGCGUGGUUUUGCAUGUUGUCGUUAUCUCACCUGCAUGUGAUCGUGAUGAUUUAUGCAAGAAAGAUUAAUUAAUCAGAACUUUUUUUGUGUGUGCAUGUGUAGACAAGAGGCAAGUGCCAAAGAGGGGUACAAACUGAGUCCAAAGUGUUUUACAGAGGUGGUGGAGAUGGCAUUGAAGUGCCACCAAAAAUCCCACCCCACUUAACACGUAUGAGUGCUCAUACAGAAGGCAAACAUCGCUCUGGGGUAGCACAAGGGACCUAAUUGGAACAUUUGUAACUUAAUUUUAAAUCGUUGUUGUCAUUGUGGGUUAAUAUACUGAAGGAAUCAGUAAAUAUGCUGAAGAAAUUGGUAGGUAGUAAAAGCGAAGGCUAUACAACAGUUUAUAGCCAGUGGUUCUGUUUAGGCUUAAUCCCCGUAAUGCCGUGUUAAAAUUUACAAAACAGCUUGUAAUUGCAGGAGCUUAUUUAAACCAGCUAUUUGUGGUUAUGUCUGCUGAGGAAACUUAAACUUCAGCGUUCCCCAGCCAUCUAAUAGCAGCAAAUUGACUGCGGGUCUCUUGUAAGAAUAUCUAAAUGUAGGCUGUUGAAUAAUCCCUUUGGGGGCCCUGUAACUAUUUUUGUGCCUGGAUAUGCGUCAUCAGUGGGUAUUUUCUCUGGUGACUAGCUUACAUCAGUAGGUCUCCUACCAUACACUCUAUCAGCAAGUGACUUAUGAUUGAUGGGAGUCACGGCCGCGCUUGGGCAUUUAUCUGUGACCUCAAAUAAUGGACAACGGGAAUCUCCACGCUGUUAAAUCCCUUCGAUGACGGGAGGUACGGGCUGCCCGUGCUGGGCGAUGCAGGACUAUUUACUUGAGAAGCUGAGAGUGAGCUAGAAACAUUGAUGAAGCCUCUAUUCUGUGAGGUGGGUAUGCAUUCUUAUUACUAUUUUGCAAAAGCACAGAAGAUUGAAACCACUUGCCCAGGUCCAGACACAGAGACAGAGCUAUUUAAGAGCUGUGAAUGGAGUCCAGGAAUCUUCUGUCUCAAAACAUGUUCUGGCUGAUCAGUACUUAGGAAUAAGGUCUUCAUGUGCCCUCCUGGUGGAGGAAGUGAUGAGCUCUUGCGUUCUGUUAUCAUUCAAAGUGGUUCUUUCAAUUUUCGAUUUCUGACUAAUGGCAUAAGUGACUCUCACUGAUACUUGUGCAGCCCUGUCCCCCACCCCUGGUGUGCAGCACAUUUAGGUCACAUUUUUGGGAGGCAACAGUCAGUGGAAAUCAGAUGUGUUCACUGGAUCCAGGUCAGACAGUCUGGGGUCCAGAAAUGCUCAGUGCAUUUUGUUCUUUUUUUAUUUUUAUUUUAUCCUUUUGUCGUGGUCAGAUGCACCAGCAGGCUCUUAAUAAAUCCCUUCUGUGUGACUUGCAACUUAGAUUUGCAGACCCACAAGGAGUGGAUGAUUUGAAUAACUGUGAGAAGUGAAACUGAGUGUUUGUAGGUGCAUCCCCAAGCAGCAAAAGCGAUGUGUUGCUGUAGUUUUGGUAGCCUUUGUCUUAACGAUGUGCUGCAUGCAAAACCAUCAGCCCCACCUGCCCCAUGCCAUCGCGUCUCAGAUGCAGAGCCUCUGUGUUUCUGCAUGCUGUUGCCCAGCCCGUCUCAAAGGGCCCCACUCACAAGGGGUUUUGUUCAGGCAGCAGCCCAGAAAAACUCUCUUGGGCUCCUCAGUUAUUCACAGCAGUUUUCCUUUCGGCUUUGUGAGAGAAACCUAGUGAGGAGGCUUCUGCCUUCUGUUGCACUCAAUUGGAAUCCUGGGUCUGCGGUGGCAAGGAGUUAAAAGUCAGGACUGGAAUUUAUCUCCUUAAAGAUUUUGGCUUUUUUCUCUUUAAACCACUCUUUGCCUUUGAAAACCUUUUUUGAAUAAAUCACUCUGAAGCACCAGAAUAUAUAUUGUUAAAAAACAAAUUUAUGUGUGCUAGCAUUUAUCAGUUUGGUGUCUAUUCACAAGUACAUACAGUUAUUUAGCUCUAGGCCCAUAUGGCUCCCAUCUCUGAGCAAAGGGGAGCAGAGUGCUGGGGCACAGCCUGAAAGUGGGAGUAGCAGAAAAGCCAUGUUGAACGUGUUUUUCUGUGACAUCAUGGUGGCUCCUCAGGUAUCUCUCAGUUCAUAUGGAAAAAGUAUUAAAAAUAUGACACAGUUUAAUGCUAAUAUUAGCUUCACACUCUUCUCUGAAGAAGGAAUGAAAAUACUUGGAGGACAAGUUGCCUGUGUGCAGAUUUGGCUUCUGGGUAACGUGAGCUAUGCAAAAGCUUUCCCUACUUCAUAAACUUUUCAGUACACAUUAUGGUUGUUAAUUAAUAUUACAUAAUGUUAUGUUUUAAAUCUUUACAUCUGUGCACUUUGUUAAAAUUGAGAUGUUUGGCCUACUUGUUAUCUGCUUAAUAGGGCUGUAAGAAAACUGAGAUGCUUCCACUCUCAGACCUCCCAUUUUGCAAACAUAAGCACCAUUUGUUUUGCUCAGUUCCAGAGCAUUCAAGUUCAAAAUCGAUGAUGAAAUUUUUAAGACCUCAUUUGACUAGAAUUAUGCAAAUCCACUGAUGUACUGUAACAUACCUUGAGACCUAUGGGAGGGAAACUACCUGCUCCUUCUGCCGUGGAGCCCCAGCAGUGAUGCGUGGAAGGAUCACGUUGCCUGUACCACUGCGGUGCGGCCAUUGUCACGGUGUGACUGCCUGCCUCAUGCUGCUCAAAAACACGAGUUGCUUAUUUCACUCCCUAGGCUUGAACUGGCUCCCCACAGUCUCCAAAACUGACAAGUCAUGAUCUAAUGCUAGAUGUUCUAGUUAUUAGUCAAUUAUUUCGUUAUUGGUUGUCAUCGGUUUGGCUUCUGCAGCCAGUGGGUGGGCAGCUAGGUAUUUUCCUUGUGUUGCAGCUCUGGUCAGCAGGGAAGAGAACUAAAAUUGUGACCUCUGGUUUGAAGACUACUUUGGACUUCAGUGCCUAAUCCUGACCCACUAGAAAUAGUGUCUGACAUUACAGCUUUCUGUCCUUGUUGGGGCAUUUAGUUACGUUGUCACCAUCAGAGCAGUUAGAUGAGGUGGAUAAACAGAGAAUCAGCUACAGGGGAACAGGAAGCAAAAGCUGGCUGGAAGAAAAUUGAAAACUGCAGCACAUUCUGAAAUAUUUCACCUGUGCUCUAAGCUGGUACAACACCCUGGAAGGCCUUACACAGUAAGACAGCUUGUUUCAGAACACUCUAAAUCUUGCCUCAAUUUUACUUUGCAGAAGGAUAUCAUGCUGGUGUACCAAUAUUCCAGCUCUUGUAACUCAUUAAAUUGUAAUUAAUCCAGCAGUACAACUGCUGUUAAAUGUUAGUAUUUCAGAAAACUAUUACUUUCAUAAUGCUUCAUUUAAACCAGGGACAACAUUUAUAUUGUGGUGGAACUUUUAAGUUCUACCAAAGCACUAUGCUUUCCUUUCUGGAAACACUUUCAUUGAGAAACACUAUAGUCAGUUAUGCGGUGUUACAGGUUUUCUUGUUUCUUACUGUAUAGUUUCAAUUUCUGAGAAGGAGGGAGUGUUGUCUUCUUUCACUGCCCGCAGGGUCUGUGAACCCCUAGGGUUACACAUUUACAACUGCGGGUGAUUUCAGCCCAGACACGGUUGACUCCAUUUAAGGGAGAAUAUUUGCAACCAAAUGGUCUCAGGAAUAAAAAUGCAACUCUUCACGUGCACAGUUUUGCCAGUGCAGGACUUGCACAUGCUCCUAGAUGAGAACCAAAAGCUUUGAAUUCAGCUUGCAGAGAGGAAGGAAUUUGUCUGUGCUGCAGCAAAAGGAAGUAUUUGCUGUGUUAUUGUAGCACAUGGCCUUUUGCCAUCCUUGAUAAAGCAAUCCAGGGCUGUGCACCCAAAGUCUGCUGCCCUCAUGACCUUCCAUCAAUCACCAGCUGCGUGCAGGCUGGAUGCAGUGCCGGCUCCAGAGGUGAUCCAUUGUUUGCUCUGAAAGCGGGAAGUGCAGACAAAGCAGCCCCUUGCAAUCCCCUGCUGCAGCUCUGCGGGGCUGCUCCAUGUGCACCUCUGCUGACUGGAGGUGGGGGUGUCAGCCAUGGGGGUGCAGACUAGCUGCCUGGGACAGGCCUCAGGGAUGGUUUUUCCACAACAAAAAGGAAAACUGGAGUCAAUAUUGUAUCGCUGCACCUUGGUUAUGUACUUACACUUACUUCCUUCUUGACUGUUCAGCACUGCUUGUAGGUGAGGCUUAAAACGUGGAAUUCGCACACUCUGAAUGACCCAGUCUCCUUGUUUUUUUCUCCCUUCAAGCAGUACUGGUUACAGAUAUGCCAGCAUUGUUGGUAAGCAUGCUGAGAAUCAUGGAAUCAUAGGAUCAUUAAGGUUGGAAAAGACCUCUAAGAUCAUGAAGUCCAACCAGCAACCAUCACCACCAUGCCCACUAACCAUGUCCCUCAGUGCCAUAUCUCUAUGCUUUUUGAAAACUUUUGGAGUUGGUGACUGCAGCACCUCCCUGGGCAGCCUGUGCCAAUGACUCACUGCUCCUUCUGAGAAGAAAUUUUUCCUAAUAUCCAACAUGAACCUCCCCUGGCCCAACUUGAAGCCAUUCCCUCUACUCCUAUCAUUGUUACCGGGGAGAAGAGCCUAAACCUCACCUGGCAGUACAAAAUAUUUUCACACACACAUUGCUGUCUCUUCACCAGGGUCUGCUUGUGGCGUUGCGAAAUCUGUGAUCUUUGUCAAUUUGCCUGUGCUAGCUGAGAUAUUGUGGAAAGUUUCAGCCUCUUGCAAGCUUUAACAGUGACUGCAUUGUGAUAAAACGAGAAUGGAGUUUUAUGAUUUCUUUAAAACAUGGGAAGGGGUCUUUCAUUUUUACAGACACCUUACUUAAGGUACGCCCAUGUCCUUGGCUGACUUCUCUUUGGAACUGGUUUAGGUUCCUGCUGUGAAACCAAGAGAGUUCCCCAGGUGCCAAAAGAAAAAGCUGAGAGGAGCGUAACAGGAUGUUCAGGAGAGAAAGGGAAAAUUGUGCCAGACACUGCAGAUAGCAAAGCUCCCAGCCUUGCAGAUGCCUGGGCUCCAGAAAGGCUUCAGGCUGGAGCACUUUGUGCUGCACUCCAGCUCACGGUAUUUCUUGUUUUUAGCAUACUGUACUGCUCUGUUCCUGUUUAUAAAUCUUGUAAGUGUGCACAUUAAAAAAGUAAUUAAAUUGUCAUUAUAAUUUAUAGUAUGCCUGCAGUCAAUCACCUAAUUAAACAGAAAGAGCAGGGAGGUAGUAGGUUCAUAAGCAUUUAUUAAGUACUGCAGUAUUAAUUAUGCAGGACUUUUGAACCAUGCAAAAGAGGAAAGAAUGGAAACACUGAUCUAAAAAUGCCUUCCAUUGCUGCCCUUCUCAAUUUAACAGCAAGACCUCCCCUCCAGUUAGUAAGACAACACUAAUGCUUUCUUUUUGUUAAUUUUUAAUGAUGUUAUGAUGGAUUUUUUUUUUACAAAAAUCACUUGCAGCAUUUUCUUUUAAUAUUUUUUAAAAGAAUAAUGUCCCUGCAUGGGAUUUUAUCAAUACGCUGGCAGAACUGGAAGAUAUAUCUAAAGCUUGAUUUGGGACAGGUUGUGCAGGAAUGGACUCCCCUGCUCAUUUUUCAACGUGUCGGGAUGGGAGCAGAGCACGCACUAUCUGCUCGGGCAGCCCCCAGAAAUGGGCUGCUGGUUGGUGAGAGUGGGGGCUGAUCCCAACAGAGGUGCUCAGCCAGGAGUGUGGACGGAGGGCACUGUGAUUAUGAGGACUUUACUUUUUCAGUGCGGCCUUUCUCCCACCUCAAGCUGUGAACCAGGGCACAAGUUGGUGGCCAGCACCAGCCUGUAUGUCAGGGCAUGGGGAACAGUUGUGCUUUCCAUUAGUGGGCCUGGCAAACAGGGCUAUCUUCCAUAUAAGUGGACGGGAAGGUGUAGAGACUUACCUGCUUGAACUGUCACUGUCAGUGUGGUGUAACAUACUUGGAGCCUAAUUGCACAUGUAUCACUUUAACUUGGAAUGUAUUAAAUAGCAAUUCAUUGGCAAUGGGUAAGUACAAUGUAUUGUCAACAUCUAGAAUUUGCGCUUGAGUUAUUUGGGAGCUAGGAACCAUUUCAGUAGCUCUUCUUUCUGGAAGAAUUUGCUAUUGGAACGUAAAUCCCUGCUAAAGGCCAUUUCUUUUCACUGUCUUUAUUAAGCUACACUAAAUUGACAGCAAAAAUAGCAAAUAAAUAAAUAAAUAAAAAUUGAGACUGAAAAUUUGCUGUGUAUAAGUUUUUCUUCUAUACAGAAAACAUUAAAUCUAUGUGGCCUUAAGCAGUGCAGUUUUCUGUACCGAGCUGUUUCACUGAAGGCUGAAAAGGUGGGGGAGGGCUGUAUGCCACGCAGGAGUGCAGGCAGGAGAAUUUGCAAUGCUGUGCCCUCGUCCCAUAGACCUGCAGUGACAUGGGCUCGAGUGCCUGGCUGGAGGGAGUUCUGAGGGUAUGAUUUAAUCCAAUGAAAGCAAUAGGUUUUGUUGCUGUUUCAAAAGAUGCAAUUGGGAUUGCCUUUGUAGCAAAGAUAACUUUUUACCUUAUAUGGAGCAAAUCAAAUUAUUGACAGCUCUUGAUCUCAGCACUCCUAAUUACCUUAUAAUGAGCAGUCAUUAUGGUUCAGGUUAGCAAUGCAGCAGCAUUAUAUAAGAAAUGUAACUUGUCAGUUGCCUGGAAGAAAGGAAGAAAGGAAGAAAGAAAGAAAGAAAGAAAGGUAGAAAGAAAGGUAGAAAGAAAACAGUAAUUGUGGCCUAACCAAGGUCUCAGGUGACAUAACAGAAGUAGGUCUAUUUAUGGUAAAUAAGCCAGUCUUCUGAGCUGCAUAUCGGAGACUUAAUGCUUGUCUGUUUGUAUCAGACCUUACAGCUAUUUCUUCAGUACCUAAGUUGCUCAUGCUUUGCUCUUGUUAAGCAUGUUUUCAGCUUUGUGUGCUGGCAGCAGGCAAAGACAGUCCUGGCAGCAAUGUCCUCUGUUUGUUGAAAUGGCCAAAAACAAGAAAAUCCAAACCUUUCUCUUAUUGAUUCUAAAAACAGGUUGGAUGAGUACUGCGUUGGAGCUAUUUGAAGCAAUUGUGGGGUGCAUCUUUGUGAUGCCCUCUGCAAUUUUGUUGUCAAAACAGAGAAAAAAAGUCUUUGAGUAUGAGAAUCUCUUCUCUACAACUUUCCUUAGGCAUGUAUUUUCAUUGGUAAAAAGGAUUUUUUAUGUUACAGGCAAGUAAUUGAUUUGAAGUCCCAAGUUCUGCUUAAAUGCAUGUGUAUUGUGAUGCACCAAAUGAAUUCAGUAUUUUUAAUCCAUACCCAUGGAAAUACUCAUUAGUCCUCAGAUACUCAAACUGAGGCAGGUGUUCUGCUAUGGAUGGAGAAUCUGAACACCUUAAGCCUUUAUGUUUGGAUUGCUCAGAAAUUGCUCCAAGCACAGUAGCCUGACCAUGGUCAGUGUUAGGCACUGGCAGAGUUCUCACAUGCCCGUGAUUUUGGCAAAAGUCUUGCACAUACGCUGUGUGAUUCCAGGCAUUUCAACCAAAGAUUCUGUAAGUGUUGAGCAGGUCACCAGCUUUUUCCAUGUCCUGUCCCUCAUCCACGUUUGGAGCGUGGAGGAAUUCAUAUCCCAUUAAAGUUGUGCCUUUGCCAUGACUGCAGUCUAACUAGGCAUAUCAGAAGCAGCUUGGAAGCAGUUUAGUGUGUACUCGGCAACCUCCGUGUAUUCUGUGAAUAUGCUCAGAUCAUCUUGGUGCUAGUAUACCUUCACUCCUAGCAGCACCAAAUCUCUAAGGGGAGAUGUAUGUUUAUGUAAGGAGGUAAAACUAUUCAAGUCUGGGUGCAUGUUCCCCGGAAUUAUAUAGCACAUCCUGAAGAGCAGCAGUGUUAAGCUCCAGGUAUCUCAUUACUGUGGUUUGUUAUUGGUAUUUUGUUUUGUUUACUAUUGGUUUUGUAUGGGUGAUUUUCUCAAGGUGUUUCUUGGGAGGAUAAUAUUAAAUCUGGAGGAACAAAUACCACAGUAAAGUAGGGAGACAUAAUGUAACUUCAAGCCUCAUAAAAUAAGUAGACUUGGUGCAAACAUUUCAAAUCCUCUUCAGCUCAUAAAAUCAAGAAUCAAAAGUAACCUCAAUUCAUGGGGCUCUUCAGUGAAAUGGAAAGCUCAAACACAAGAUAAAAGAGUAUUUCAGACAUGAAAUCUAGGUACAUUGAGACUGGAAAAACUGUAAUUCAGAGCUACAACUGCACAUAUGCAUCCAAAAGAACUGGGAAGAGUGAAGCAACAUGUCCUCAUGUGUUACUGAAGAUAAAAGGGGAACAAUACUGUGAUUAAACAGCAGCAGAGAACAUUUUGUGUGAAUGUUCAAUAUUGGAAAGGGGUUACUACAAAGUAACAUUUAGGUCAGUGGAGCAAACUGCCUUGGGAGGGUGUGGAAUCUGUUUGACUAGACUAAAUACAUGUCUAUUAAAGAUGAUAGAGGAUAACCCAUUUCGAGUUUGCUUCCAGCCCAAAUGUUUUAUGUUAUUUUUGUUCUCUUCAGGUACCUCUCUUGGAUUUUGGUCAGAUUAGAUUUUUCUUCCAGUUACUAUAUUAAUUAUUACUGACAAAAAAGCCCUCUGUGCUAAGAACACUGUGCAGACUAGAAAUAUUAUAAAGAUUACUUUACACAUUGUAACAGGUGUAACAUGCCAAAUAAUUAUUACAUAAAUUCAGUAGUGUGGUAAUGCUUAUGAAUAAUCUCUUGUAUCCUUAUUAAAAUAUAUUAUGAAUGUUUAGACUGUUUUUAAAAUAUUUUAUUACUUAGCAUGAAACUUUUUUUUUCACAAAAAUUUCUUUAUAUUUCAAAGAUGGGAAAUGUAUGACAUUUUAGAGAAUAAUAUAAUACAGAAAGUGGGACGCACUCUGUGUGCCCAUGACCAUACGAGCUAUGUCUCCUGUCCUAAAAAUAUUCAUCAUAAUCAUAAUUUUCAGAGGAGGGUUUUUGUGACAUACAGGUCAGUAAGUGGACGUAUGUGCACAUUGUAUGUGUGUAAAUGCAUUCCUUUACGGAACAGUGUGGUAGUCUUACUCAACUGUUACUGUAGUCAGUGGGAUUUUUGAUUGAUCCCGGGCACAGAAAACACGAUGGCUUCAUGUUUUGAUCAUGGCUUCAAGCUGCACCAGGGAAGGUUCAGGCUGGACUUUAGGAAAUACUACUACUCUGAAAGAGUGUUCAGGCACUGGAAUGGGCUGCCCAGGGAGGUGGAGGAGUCACUGACCCUGGAGGUGUUCAAGGGACGUUUGGACAUUGUGUUGAGGGACAUGGUUUAAUGAGAACUAAUGGUGAUGGGUGGAUGGUUGGACUGGGUGAUCCUGUGGGUCUUUUCCAACCUUGAUGAUUCUAUGAUUCUAUGAUUUUUCUAUCUCAGGUUACGUUUUUUUUUCAUGACAGUUUAUUGUUCAAAAGCAGGCUGUACUGUUAUUAAAAUUGGCGCAUGGAGGAACACUCACUUUUAUCACUAGAAAAAGUGUAAUGUGUAUGUAACCACCCACAGCAGGAACAAAAUAUUUCUUGUUGGGCUCAAUCCAAGUUUCAUUGACUUUUAUGAUAUUUGGAUCAAGCUUUCUAAUCAUGUUGCUGUAAUGAUCUGCAAACCCACUGGGGACUUCACUGCUCCAUGCCAGGACUAGUUGUAAUGAAGUGAUAUGAAAAACAUUGGCACGUAGGUGCAGAAACACAGCUCUGUAGUUCAACUGAUGCAGUUCUUUGAUUUGUCAGAAUGAAAAAGGAAGAAGCUCCAACGCAAAUGAUUCUGUUUACUUAUCGCUUUUAAAGCCAAUUUGGAAGUAAUGGGGACCUGGAGUGUUAGUAAGUGAUACUUAGAAAAGCGGUGAGAAGUGCUUCACCCUAUCCUGGGCAGGUGAAGCGUGCUGUGCUGGCUGGCCACUGGCCUUUCCCUGAGGUCUGUCAGUUCUACUCAUCUCCUGUUAAGCAGUCUUGAUAGAAUAAUAGCUUGUUUUCUUUAUGUUUUUGUUUUUAUUUUUAAUCAUUUUAGAAGUGAUCUCAAGUGAUCAUUUUGGUGAUGUCAAAGGUUCUGGAAUGGCACAUAACAGUUUGGGAGGAAUUGACCGCAUUUUAAUAUAUCUGUUCACAUUUCCUGAAUCAGAAUCUGUGGUAUUCAUCUCUGGAAACAAUGAAGUGGGAAUUUGAAUAACUCUUUGGAGAUGUAGAAUUCAUUAGGGGUCUUUUUUGUCCUUUUUUUUUUCUUCAACUCAUCUUCUUUCUUAGUCUUUAUUUGUGUCUGAGUUUCUGAAAUGAUUGCUAUUGUUUGUUCUGCCUUUUUUUUUUUUCCCCCUCUUGAGAGGCCUUUAACUUGAUUUCUUAUGUUUCUUAGUGGUGGCAUUAUGUUUUCCUGGCAGAAACACUUCUGCUGUUUAACAUGUCGACAGUGCUGUCUGAAAGUAUUUUUGGUCCCAUGCUCUUUCUUGGAUCCUCUCCUAGGGCAGUUUUUCUUCAGUUGGACUUUCCACAGUCAGUGUGGCCUCUUACCAUUUUCCUGUUUUCUAUUAAUUUUUGAGCAGAAGCCCUAGUGCCGAAUGAAACUUGGAGGUUUUAAGGGGACAAGUCGUGGUGAAAUUGCCACCUUGCAGUCUUUAGUCUUUUGACUGCAGCUGCACUAAACUUCUGCUGAACACAGCAGAGAGAGCAAAGACAGCUUAAAGCCAGAUUUUCAAUGGAUGUCAAUGUGAUUUGGCCACUUGACUCUUGAACAGAGACAUGAAUAAACUCAGAGGAGGCUCUGUUCAUGUGCAUUGCCAUUUAUAUUUCAAAGGUAAAUAAUUUUCUAAUUUAAAAUAUAUUGUUUUUAGUGACAUUUUGGGGGAUGUGAAAAGUAGUUUUGUUGUCUUGGCCAUUAAAAAAGAAUAUCAGAGUGGCACCUUGACCACAUCAACGUUAUUGAGUCUUGAAAAUUCAGGAUAUAAUCUGUAUAUCUUCCUUAAAGCAAGGAGUCUACUGUCAAGUACCACGUAAUUAUUAUUUAGAGCUCUUAAGUCUGGGAGGGUUCCUGUCAAGUUUACUUUUUCAGUUUGCACAGUAAUGAUACAGAAUUUCAAAUUUUCCAUCAUGCCUUUUCUUCAUCUCUUCAUCUAUGCUGCAGAUCUUGGAUAAUGGACAGGUAUUGCCUUCACGUGGUGCUGUAAAGGUUGAAGAUGACACUGCCCACGAAUAAUCACUGCUAACUAGCUAACCAUUCUACUUGUUGAAAGAGUUUUGAAAGUGAUCUGUUUCUUACUGCAGGCAUAGCCAUCUGGGUUGGCUUCAGUGGCUGUUGAAGGUCAGUGGAGUGCUCACACUGACUGAAAUAGUAAGCAUGAGCCUUCAGUCAGGCAGGAGCAAAUGGAGACAGGACCAUCUUCAGCUUCUACAGCUAGGGGAAGAAGAGGUCUACUGUCAUAAGUCACAGUUUUCCCUUUUUUUUUUUAAAAAAAAAAGAACAAAAACAUAGAUCCAGUAGUUUUCCUUUAAAUGAGACAUGCUGCAAUAGAUCAGAUAGCUACAAGCUUCUAUAUUUUGUGUUUUCCUACAUGAUGCUCUGCAGAAUUGGUUGAAGUCCAUAAGUGAAAACAUGCCAGAACCCGUUGCAUUACUGUAUUUGCAGGAGCUUCCCACUGUCAUCCAAAAACUAGUAUUUUAUCUGAGAUAAUUCUCCAAGUUGUUCCCUGUAUUUUUGAGAGCUGCAGUGUCCUCAGAGAGGACUGCGUCAGGACCAUUGGUGGUUAUUUCUAGGUCCUCAAUUUUCAGCCUCUUGCUGUUUUAAUCCUAAACCUUAAAGCUUCCUGUCCAUAGAAACCAUAGUCGCCUGGAGUAGGUCCAGCCUUCCAGUAAUAUGUACUGCAUUCCUUGCAAAGAAAUUAGAUAAUUUGGAACGGGCAAGGACCACAGCUCUAGACAUUGUCAGACUAAAGGCAGGAGAGCCCUUUUACCAGUCUGCAAGCGAUAUAUGAAUGCCCUGCCAGAUCCCUCAUGAAUCUUCAUUUCUCAAGGGCAUGUUAAAGUCACUGCCCGUUCUCUUACAAAGAUUAUAGAUGACGGCAUUAAAAUCUUAAAUCACUUGGGUGAUUGUGAACAGUAGAACAUACCACAUAGCACUCCUGGAAAAUAUCUUUUCAGACAGCUCCUGAAAGCAGAUCCACGUGAUAAUUCCUUGAAAAUACAUCUUAGGUCAGCUGUAUUUUUCAUCAUCAUGGUGAAUGUGGUUCUAUCUUUAAGUAUGAUCCCAGGCACUUGGUUUGGUGCAGUUUUUCCUGUCAGGGUGGGAUAAGUAUGCUCAGCCUGACUCUCCAUUCCUGCCCAGAACGCUGCAGCAGGUGACUGCUGACUUUUCACUCCAGGCAGAUGAGGAACGUGCCUGUUACACAGACUUGUGCUGACAUAACUGUCUUGACCGAAGGUGUAAAGAGGCUUGAUCCUUGAUGCGAUCUCUGACUGACACAGAAGCUCUCACUGUGGAGACACUUAUGACAAACCUCUACUUUUAUGGAUACACUUUUUACCUGCUGGAUAAGGAAAGAGGAACCUUAGGAAAAAGCUAUGCUAGCAAAUAAUACAAUUUUGCUAGUACGAAUGAAGCCUGUGCUGGGGACACGCUGUCAAUACAGUUUGCUAGGACAGCUGCAACAGUGGAGAGAUCCUAUUCUGGAUACAGCCUUGUCUUCUGUUCCAGUUUGUCGUGCAUGAUUUAUCUUUCUGUCACCUCUCCAGGUCCCUAGACACCUCUCUGCGUAAAAAGAAAUUAAAACACAAUACAUAUGAGUCUGCUCUGUAUUGGAGUCUUGACCUUUAAUAUAUCAGGUUUUCAUAUUGCAGCUUUGCCAGCAAAUAGGCUGUCCUACAAGAGCUGAGGUUGCUGUAGUGAUCUGUAGAGGUCCCACCUCAGCCGCGCUUCAGCUUUAUUUGCUACAAACUCUCAGGCUGCCUGGAAUGCCUUUGAAAGGAGAUGAGGUUUUCAGAUUGCCUGGGAGAUCAUAACCAGGAGCUUCAGCAAUCCAAUGAGGAAAAAAAACUCUAUCAUCAAAAAUCUGAGAAAGCAGCCUGACAACCCCAGUGUCAAAAGGAUUGCUUAAUGCUUUAUCCUGCUAUAUGAGUUGAAUUUUUAUCAUAUUAAUAAUUUUUGGUGUUCCCUUCUCUCUGCCAGUGCUGUCAUUACAUUUUCCUUUUGUUAGUAAAGAAAGGAAUGAAAAGGUCUGCCUCUGGCUCCGAUCUUGUGGCUGCGCUCCCGCUGAGCAGGCUGGCGUGUCACUGAUGGCAGGCUUGCAGUUAGGCUCCCCAGAUCAAUAAGCCAUCUUAGUUAGUUGGUGAGCAUAUCAGAUGUGAAUUUUAAAAGUCCACAGUCACACUUACAAUACCACAGAAGCCAAAACCUGAUGUAAUUUUUAAGAAGGAUCGGAAUCCUUAAGAGGCUCUAUUUUUCACUCAUAAACCAAGCAGCAUUACCUUCUGACCAGCGCGCUGUUUGAUGAGGUUUUAGUCUCCUGUUUCUCUCUGCAGCUAUUGGGGAUCAUUGUUUCUUCUCUCCAAGAGACAGACAACUGUGUCUUUUAAAAAACAAAACAAUUGUGUCAACAGAUGGGAGAGAAAGUGCUGUGUCUGAAAUAGGAAUACACCAUGUUAAAAAUAGGUAGUCUUGCCAGCAUUGUUUCUUGAGCCAAUGUGGAAAUCCUUCUUUCCCAUACUAGCAUGCUAUCAAAACUACUAAAACCAUGCUAGAAAAACUGCCAAAUUAGUCUAUAAAACAUUGGUAGAAUAAUAACAACCUUUUUCCUGUGUAAUUCUAACAGUCAAGCUAGUAAAGGAGAGUGACUGGCAGAGUUGUACUGCCAAGGGAGAGCUCCGAACAAUACCUUUCAUUGACCCCUGGCCAGCAGCAACUAAAAUACAGCUCUGGUAGUUGUGGACAUAGAUUUUAAUGAGGUGACCCUCUGUGCUCCCCAGCUGUACUAGAACAACUGUGUAAUGAGGAACCAGGGGGUGUCAGAGGCUUUCCCUUUCUUAGAUGCGUAGUUUUGCUCCUAGGUGUGGAGGGAAAUAAUUUUCCUGUCCCACCAACUGUCUGGGGAGAAUCCAUGGCAGUUUUGUUGACAAGAAAACUCCUGCCUCCCCAGAAUAGGAAAGCAGGAUGAACCGUUCUUAAACAUGUUUGCUACUGGCAGAAUUACAGCUGCAGUUUAGACAUUGCAUUUCUACUUUCCAUCUGUUGUCUCGCUUAUUUUUUCAGUCUCUCUCCUUGCUUUCAGUUGUUUUCUCUAUGUCUCAGUUUAUCCAGUUUUCAGGGCUGGCUGUCCAUUUCAGCAUUAUUGCUGUCCUAAUGGGUGUAAGAGGAGCAGAGAAGCUCUUCAAUAAAUGAUUUUUUUUUUAAUUCCACAAUGCUUUUCUGCUUUGUUUGUUUUGGUUUUGUUUGUGCUUUAUGCUCUAUGUUGUGUCAUCUCAAAAGAGAGAUGUUUGCAUAAUGUGUCUUUUGCUGUGGUAGUUUAAUUCCUGCAAACUUUUGUUCUGUAUAUGGCUCACGGUACCCUUGGAGGAGGGAUAAAUUGUAACCUUAAACAGAGAAUGGAUCAGGUCUCUGACCCACUCCAGACCCUUCCAGUAGAGUUUGGGGUCUGGGUUCCUCCAGACUUCUGCCCAGGGAUACAGGAGAAAACAACCUUGGGCAGCAUGAUUUCAGGCAACCCUGUGGCACUGACCUCUGAGAGAGGAUGAAACAGGAAGGUACCUGAGGCCCUUCCAUCUGGGCAGGCGGGCAGCGGCAGGUGAGCAGUACAGCCUGUGACCAAAUACACCUUCCUCAUGAACUGAUACAGCCCACCUGCUUGCAACAGGCCAUUUUUUUCCCCCAGUUAUCUGCAGUUGAGGAAUGCUCCUGGGGAAUCAUGCUUGCCUGGAAGUUGUCUCUGUUAGAUUAAUGUUUCUUGCUGAGAUUAAAGAAAAUUUAAAGGAAAAGACUUUAGAGACUGCCCAAUUACUUUAUUGCAUCUAGGAGAGACCACAUCCCUUAUCUUAUCAUGUGGUCAUUUUUCUUACUCUUUCCUCCUUGCCAUGUGAGGCAAACGGAAGUAGAGGAGUUAAGUGCCCAUGACCCUGUUCUGAUGGAUAAGGAAACUGCCAGUUCUACGUGAAAACACUACAAGAGUCUUAUCAGCAGUUGUGGAUGCAUGGGAUUUCCUUAUAGUAGCUUGUUAUGUCAUCUUUUCUGCAUCACCUCCUCCUGCCUUUGUGCUUCCCUGUAAUCAGUGGGUAGCAUGCACGUUUAUCUCUGCUCAAGGAUAUGCCCCACAUGGUUGGUUUUUUCUUUUUUUUUUUUUUAAUUUGUUUUGCUUAAUCAAUCUAUGGAUGAGUUAAAAAGAUUGGUACGUGUGUGAGUGAAUUCAACCUUCUUCCAGCAUGAUGAGCUCCAAGGAAAUCGGGAAGUUUUUCGCUACAUCCAGAGUCUAUGGAAAAAAAAAAGAACAUUCAGAAGGAUGCAUGCCACCUAUUCACUUCUAACUUGAGCACAUGCCUUGCUUUGCUGAGCUGGCUCUACUGCUUAGAGAUGGAAUUAAGCGUAUGCCUAAAUGACUUGCUCAGCUGUGACUGAGGUUGCAUAAUUUGUCUGUUCAUUUUCCUGGAGCUUUCCUAUUGAAUUCAGGAAUCAGGCCAUGGCAACGGAGAGGUGAUGCAGUCGUAAUUGGCAGGAUAUGCCAAUUAGAACUUAUUCUUUUGGUAUUGUAAAGUGAGGCUCUGUGUUUUCAUUACAGCCAGUUUCAAGUUAUGCUCUUGAAUUCUAGUCAAGUCAAUAUUGUGUUAUGGCAACAGUACAGCAAAAUAUUUUUGCUUUAACUAUAGGAAUAUACAAAUUUGAUCCCUCAAAGCUUUCCUAUAGCUGCAACCAGGUUAACUGCUGUUGCACUGCCUGAUUUUUCAGGCCAUUUUGUUCUUGUACUGGACAUCAAAGUCAUUAGAAAACAUUCACUGGCAGUACUUAAUAGCAUAUUAAAAAACAACAACAACAACAAAAAAAACAACAGACAUUUGUGAUGCACCACUAAUCUAUCAGUCAUUUGUUUAAUUCCACUGCUCCACACAUACAGGAGAAUAAAAUAGAAGCAAUUAAAAUGAAAGUGAUUUAAAAAAAAUCCUCAUAAUAAGGCUUUUUUUUUCUGUAACCAGCUCAUUUUCUUUCUCUGAGAGCCCAAUGGUGAUAGCAGAAGGUGAAAAAUUGCAAACAAAAUUAAGGAAAAGUUCAAGUUAGCUGUGGAGCCAGAAGUGUGAUUCAGGAGCUGAAAAUAUCUCUGCGCUUCAUGCAUCAAACUCAAACACUGUGCUCUGACAACGCCCUCUGGAUCAGAAACGGAGUUUGAGGUCAUUCCUCCUCCAGCCUGCCAUGUAUGGAUAGGGCCCACGCUCAUGACAAAUUACUGUCUUACCGGGCACACACCGAGAGUGCAGUGACAUCAGUGCAGAGGGAUCUUGCCUCACAGCAGAGGACCGAGGACUCCACAGCCUUCUUCCUCCUUUAGUCCUGGAGGAACAGUGUGAAGGCACUGGGAAUGAGGACAUUUUAAACAUUCCUUUUCUAGAUGUGGAAGGAACAAGGGAUAGAGAGCACCCACCUCCUUGUAAAGAAGUCAUAUGGCAUCCAGAAGAACUGCUAGCAAAGAUUCUGAUCAGAAGUGUAUUGAUGGCCAGUUCUGAUUUCUAGGAUAAAUGUACAGCUGCCAGUGAUGGUGCUUCACCGUGGAUGCAGACCCAAAAAGAGAGUAGUGCAUCCUUUGUUGUAUGAGCUGGCUUUGCAUCUAGGAGUGCAGUAUCAGAGACUGAUCUGCAUAUACCAGUAUGCCUGGUAUAAAGUCUGUGCUCUGACUUAACACCAGUCUUGCUGAGGUCUUAAAUUUAUUUUGGUAGAGAGUAAUGCUUAGAUUUUGCAGAUAACAACAACCAAAACUCUGAAAGCAGAACCCAAGUCCUUAGAAUUCACAUAUUUUCUCUGCUGACAGAUUUCUCUUGUCCCCAGGCAUCACACUUUCCUGCUGUUUUGUGUGUCUGCUUAGUUGCCAGCUUCUCAGGUGCAAGCGAGCUUUCAUCCCUGACACUUUUUCAUCAAGGUACUUUUGGAGGAAGUUCCCUGUGGUGAUAUUGCUGAAGCCUAUUUGGAUUGCUUAGAGCAUGAGCUUUAUCAGAAAUCCUAUCUUGGGCUCAGUGGAGACCUGAUGUUUUGGCCUUCCCUGCCCACUCUCAGAGGACCCCUGGAAGUACUCACAUCUUUGUACCAGCUGCCUGGCCAAGCAGUCCUGUUCUUUUGGCAACAGGAGAGCAGACAAAUGGGUUGAGCAACAUGUGUAUGUGGACACAGUGUCAGUUGUCAGCCUGACCAUUGUCUAAAAGCAUCAAGCCUGGUUAGCUGAGGGCACUGAUCUCAGCUGGCAGCGUCUAAACUGCUAUGUGUAGUGAGGUUAUGGACCUAUACUUAGGGGGAUGUGCUCUUGCUAAUUUAGCUCCUGGCUGAAUUGGGAAAAAAAAAGAGUAACCCAAAAUCAUAGUUCCAGUGCUAGCAGCAAAAUAUGAUCCUGCACAUCGUGGGUUCUGGGAAUGAAGGAAGUAAUUUAGAGUAGUUCCAAACACUACAUAUAACAUUGCCAAAGAAAUCAGGUGCUUGAUUUUAAUAGAGUGAAUUGCUUAUGGGUGAAUAAACAAAGUUCACAGGUGAUGUUCCAGAAGUUAUUUGGGAUAAUGUAUCUUUUAGGUAAAUUUUGUUCUGAUUGCUAGCUUUCAGGAGAGGCUGAGACACAAUAGAAACAGCAUAUACAUGUGUUAGCAUGCGUGACUAUUUUUAUUUACAUAAUAUGUACACAUAUGCAAGCACACAUACAUGUAAAUUCACAGGCAUAUAAAUUUCAGCAAAUGAAAAAUGUUGCAGAGAUUUCUUGGUGCUCUUUGUGUCUGGAUCUGCAGCGUGGUGCUAGCAAAAUACCAACAAAGCUGUGAAGAAACAAAAUUUUAAUAGACUAUCAUAAUCCUAUUGCAAUAAAUAAAUAAAUAAAUAAAAAUUAAAAAUAAAAAAAUAAACUUUCUGUUUCAAUGAUGAAGAUGAAAACAUUUACAGCACAGGAAAAAAUUAUUAAAAAAAAAAAUCAUCCCUUUAAAUUUGGAGGUAGCUCAAGAUUUGAUCCAUAAAUUUCAGCAAACUGCUUGUAGUUGCCAGAGCUGCCAGAAUGACUUAGAAUUAAGAGGGAAAAGGUAGAGUACUCACAGAUGAUUUGUGUGAACACGUAAAGUGAGAACACCAGUAUAGUAAUGGGAAACAUUUUCUUUCACUUUUUCCAAGUUUGAUUGCAUGUAGUAUGGUUGCAUUUGGGUUUGAACGAUGUUACUUAGGUGGUUGUGUUCUGCCAUUGUUCCUGUUAAGUUAAUUUAAAGCAUGACAUGGCUUUUACCUUCCUCAAGUAGGGAGAUAUUUUUACUUCCAGUCUUAGCUGCUGUAGCUUUCGAAUUGUGUGUUUAAUAAAUUGUGCUUUGUUUAGGGAAUGGUAACUGUAAAAUAUUGCCUGUUCAGAGAGUAAGUACUGAGAUGGAGAUUGAUGUCUUUCUGGAGCUUAAUGCAUCACAGUGACAGUCAAGCAAAUUUUAGACUUCUCACUCCUCCCACUAAGAACUGUAAUCUCUGAACUUUGUGUUCGAAAAGGAGAAAGAGGGCAAAGAGAUCAUUACAAAGUCCACACAGACUGUUUCACAUAUCUGAAGGGGGGUUGAACCCAUGUAAAAAAGGGGGAGGUUUGUGUAUUGCCUUAGUUCUGUGAGUUACAAGAAAUGAGUUAGAGCUCUGGGAUGGCAAGCUACAGAUGUGUACAAGAAAAGUGUUUUUCUACCCAAGUUGUGUGGAUCUUCCUUGAUUUGAAUUAUCUUAUACCAUCUGGGAACCUGGCUGCAAUUUAAAUAGUGUCUGGCUUUCUGAUAGACGUGGUCAAACGGAGUUGUUAGGUGAAUUCCCUUCCAAUGAUAAGAUACAGUCUGCUGGAAUGAUACCUGCUGCAAGCAAGUUAAGGAGUAACGCAGGCAAGGCUUUAUUUGCCCUUUGUACUCUUGAGAAAAUUUUACCCAUUUAUUGUGCUAUUUCAAAGCCUUAGAUUAAUUAGCAGCAGAAUAAAUAUUUGCCAGUUGUUUUCCUUAAACUUUAGUUUCUCAUUAAAGUACACAUGAGAUUCCUGGUACUUUUUUUAGUCUUGUGAAGUGCACAGGAAUCUUCCUCUGGUACCCCCUCAACUAAUGUAAUAGGGACAGUGUAACAGAUAGAUAAAAACUAAUACAAAACAGAGUUCUUGUUGAUCAGUGAAAUGUAUUUACCUUUAUGGUCAGAUGAUAACAAUGCCUACUGCUACAUUUUAAUUUCACUGCUAAACAUGUAGCUGUACAAUCAUAAGAUAACUACUGAAACUGCUAAGGGAGAGUCUAGUACUCUUCAAAAGCAAAGGGUAGGAGUAAUCAUCAGAGUACCUCCAUUUUCAUGUUUUCAGGUCCAGUGUAAAAGGACUCAUCCUUGAGAGUAUAAGCUACAAAGCUCAAAUUGGAAAAAGUCUUCCUAGUCAUGCCGUGUUUCUCAUACUCUCAUUCCCCUUCUGAUGCACUUGUUUAACUUAGUCUCCAUGGCUGGCAAACAACAGCAGUAGAUUAAAACAGUCUUGACCAGAUAUGUCCAAAUGCUAGCAAAUGAUGUGCAGUGGUUGUUGCACUGCUGCCUUUCUUUGGUGGGUAGUUGUUAAAGGAAUGUUUUCUUUCACUUCCAAAUAACCCAAUAUUGCACAAGUUUUUACUAACUUGAUGAUAAAAACAAAUUAAAAGUUCUGGGUUUAGUAUCGCAACAAAGCCUCUGGAAGCUUUAAUUGGGUAGUAACAUUCUGUUUGAUGACACUUGCAUUAUCUGGGGUUGUUAAAGGCAUUGUAGGUUAGCUGUUCCCUCCCUCACACUACAUACUGCUUGCAAGCUCAAGCAUUGCUGUAGGGUUGUUGAGUUAGUAAGGAUAUGCAAUAGUACUGAUUAGACAAAAUCAUACCAUCCUUAAACAGAUCUUGCUUUGAAUAAUAUUUAACCUAAUUAUAAGUAAAGGGUAAGCUUUUUAAAUACUCGGAAACUGAUCCAACCUUCACUGAAGUCAGUGGGAGUCUUUCACACUUGGAUCAGAUCCUGGUAUAUCUUUUGAGGAACACUGCUGAAGACAGAGAAGUCUACCUCAUGGGGAAAUACGCUGGCUCCCAUCGGUUAAAAGCUGAUUUUGUAAAUGGCAUAUUUCCCUUGUGAUUUUGUUGUCUUUUAAUGGAAUGCCCCUCUGCUCCUGCUUGGAUUUACCAUAAAUGGCCCCCUUGUCUUUGGGUUGGAGACUGCAUAAACAGAUUUGUAAUAUAUAUUCAUUAAGAACAACUUUGUGCAAGUGUGACCAUUGUCAUUAAAGCCAGUUAGGCCUCUCUGAAAGUGUAAGGUGUGGGGCUGCAUGCUUAGGGGCUGGAGGAUAUCUGUUUAUUACCAGGAGAAGCAAGAUGCAAUUUGGAGCACCCCUAGGUUUUACUGAAGAAUGGGCUAAUAACAACUCAUGGUUUCUUUAUUGCUUUGCUUUCUUUUCUGACAGGAACUUUUCUCAGUCUAGUUGUAAAAAUAGAGAGUGAAAUACUGGCUCUGCUAUAAACAGGGUUUUGCCCUUGAGUCCAGCCUUGCCCUGCUUUCACCCAUAGAUUAAAAGCAUAUUGGGCCCUGUCUGCCCGGAGAUUGAAAAGUGGUUCCUGGCUCUGCAUCCAGAUUAAUUUCCUAGAAAGCUGUAUAUUGAUGUGAUAAAGUGUUAGGGUCUGGAGCCAGAGAUUAUGUUAUUUUAUAUACUCAGAUGCCUAUAUAGACCACUGUUGACACUGCCAGUUAGUAACACAUUAUCAUUUGAUAUUUGUUUUUGUUGCUGAUAGCAAACAUUACAGCAGAAAAUAUAAGCAUAUGCCUUUUCUUACUAACUCAUUCCAGACCUUCCUCAACAUUCACAUUUUGGCACUGUUUCCCUCAGCUCACAUCUGCACUCUGCUGAUGACGAAAUCACGGAGUUAUGAGGCUUCGCCCGUAGCACAUUGGUCAGUCUUUGCCAGUGCACAGGGCAGUGCGGGCAGGCCUUGUGCUCAUGAAAACCUAGAGAGGUUUGCUGCUUGCUUCUGUAGGGAUACGAUUAGGUCAUGGCCAUCAAUCUACAGGUCUAGCUUGCUGAGUUGGGCAUUUUCCUGUCAGAGGCCUCUGUCCAGAAUGUUUGUAAGUCCUCGAGGAAUGGGUAGCUCUCCUGCUGCGGUGACCCAGCUGCCCCAUGAGGGUAGACAGCCAGCAGCGUCAUGUCCAUGCACUGUGGAGCAUGGCAGGGCAAAGGGCAGGAGAAAAGACACACAAGAUCUCUCCCUGGGACUAUGUGCCAUCAUGUCACUCUCCAGGAUCUCCCUGAGGGUGCUUUUCUUUCCAGGAGCACAUCCACCCUGGAGUGAGCACCUCACUGCUCAUCCCUGGCACGUAGUUUGCAGUAGCAUUUCAUGUACACGUCUUCAAGGACAUAGGGAGUCCUGGAAGAAAGGAUCCCGAGAAAAAUGUGGCCUGUGGUUAUCUGUGCUUCACAGCUGUUUGAUUAUGUGGUCCCUAGGAGAUCACUGAUGGUGUAUUGUCUCAGUAUUCAUGGGGUGAUCCCACUUUUAGAGCACAGUUCCAGGCAGCAAAGAAGUGGCAUGCGAGAUACUUGCACCGCUCUGAUUCAAAGACAGGAAAAUACUUGUGUUUAAUUAAAAAUACAUCUUAUUAAAAACACAUAUGUUACCAUACUACCAAGGCACUGCCAUACUUUCUAUGCUUAUUCUGCUUGGUGUAUUUGUAUGUCUGAAAGUGAAUCAUUGUAUAUACCUUUUGGUCUAGGUCUUGUGAGUCUAGUUUUCACUUCAGAAUAUUUUUAGUUGACAUGCAUUGUAGAUAACUGCAAGGUGGAAUCCCCAGAACCGGUACUGAUUUCUGGUGUCACAUUGCUCUGAGGGAGAAAUACCUAGGGAGCGAGAAGGACAGUGUCUAACUCUCUGAAGUUCCUAUUUGUAUUAAUGUAGCCAAUACCAUAGCAAGAUGACUUGGCAAAAGUCCUUAAAAAUCCUUCGUGUUUGUUUUCUAAAUAGGUGGAGGAGAGUGUGGACAGCCGUAUUUGCUGGAGUGGUGAACCAAAUUGCCUUGACUGGAACCAUUAUUCACUUGCACCUUUGACUGCAGCAGACAGGUAGGAGAACAAGGAAAGGAUGGGUUCAAAUGAACUUGGGGAGCAGGCCUCAGUGAAUAUUUUUUUGUUCUCAGAGGGCUUCAACCAGAAGUCACUCACACUUAAAUAGUAACUGAUUACAUGUCCUUUUGUCACCUCUUGGUGAAACCAGAGGCAUCUCUCUUUCUGGAAAGGUUAUGUUUUUAUUAAUUCAGAAGUGCUGUCUUUGCUUUGACCAUAUAUUUGGUUUGCCACUUUCCCUUCUUUGUGCAGUUCUUGCUUCAAGAGUCCAAGGAGCACGCUUUUUGAAAGAAUAGGCAGAAAAAUGUACUUGUCUAAAAUAAAAGAAAAAAAUGGUGGAUGAGGUUUUGAUAUCUGAAAGAGGUAUUGUGGUUUCUUUUUUUUUUUUUUUAAUUAUUAUUUAAUUUUUAAAUGGCCUUGAAUUAUAAUCUGGUGAUCUGUUUGGAUCAUCUCACCAUUUCAAGUGCACCAUUGAUGAUACUGUGAUUAAGGUUUCUUUUUUUCCUCUGGGUCUUGAACACGUGGGUUCAUGCAAACUACAGUUGUGAAAAUGAUGACAGUGUAGUAUCACAAUACUCAAGUUAGCUUACAGUUAGCUGAUUCUCCGUAGCAGUUAUCUAUGACAUUAUAGACUACAGAGGCCAGUGUAUGCUGUCCGGAAAAGCUCUGUGUUCUGCUGCUCAUUGCAGCUCCAUGUUUGAGUUGGUAGUUACAGGUUGGACAGGUUUCACAUAAGCUUUGUCUCAGGGCCUGUACCAUAAAGGCAGAGUUACUUUGUUGCAAUACUGAGAAUCUCCUCUUCUUUAAUCUUCUGUGUACUGGCACAUCCUUGGUGUUCAGAGAGUUAUGUUAGCCUUCUGAAUUUAACAUGACUGACUUAAAAUAGUGAAAAGUUAGGAAAAUAUUUCAUCCUUCUCAUUGGCCCUCUCUGUUUUACAUUUUUUACCAUUUAUAUGUAACCCCGAGAGCUAGACAUGUACAGAAGACAUCAGAUGUUCUCAUGCUAUAUGAUGAUCUCAGGAGAAGGUGUUUAAAGAAAAUGCAUAGUGUAUUUUGACAUAAAACUCUAUUGUUUUUUCAGAACUGUAAAUGGCAUUGGACCUAUAUUUCAUUCUGUAUGAACUGAAGGAGGGAGUGGAGGGGGUUAAAUUGAAAUGGGCUUAAACCUUUUCUGAUACCUGGAACUGGUCCCAAAUAUUCCACAGUCCGCAGUGGUGCUAUAUGGGAUAUUUCUUCCUUUGGAUCCACAUCAAAGUUGUGUCAAUCUGCAUCGCUCUAUUUCCCCUCUGCAGUCUCUGAGAGCUGAGACAUCUUCCCAUGUAGCCUAGGAUCAGAGCUGGAUGAGAAGAGUGUUACCAGGGAACAUGCUGGCAAAAGCAAUUCAUUGUCCUCGCCUGUAGAAUUUACAGUGAAAGUUCAGCAGGGAAGCAAACUGUCCUGAUGCACCCCCGUGCUCUGCUCCCAGAUUGGGAAGCAUUAAUAGUGUGUGAAAUUUAUAAGAAGGAGUUUUGGAAUACUGCAGUAUGAAAAACUAGCCAUGUCCCAACUCACCAGGCAAGAUUUAAGUGUAAAACUGAGAACUUUGGUGCCCAUCCUCUAAAAUGGGCUUCGAGCAUUGAUUCUUCAGGUUUCAUUAGUGUGUAACGUAAUGGUACUUCUACGCAUUGGGCCCUUGUUGCUGUGGCUCUCCUGUAUGCUGAAAAUUCCCCUUAUAAUGUGUCAGCCUAGUAAUGGUCUUUACUUUUUCAUUUGGGACUGCUGAACUUCAGAAUAGAUGCUCUCAAUUAACAUAAGUCAGAUAAAUGUUAUUGUAACUGUGAUAGUACAUAUCACUACUGUGUGUGCUAAGGACAUUAAAGCCAGCACUUAAUACUGGAAGAGUAGUAAAUAUGCUGUAUGAGCUAAUGGACAGCUCACAUUAAGAAACUGAAGCCUAUAUUGCCUGCUUUAUGAGUGUGAACUUGCAGUUUGAUCCCACUGCUAGAUGCAAGGCGAUAGGAAGGCGCGUUUCCCCUGAAGACAGCAGCACGCAAUGCUGCCAAACCAGCAGUCCCGGGUGCCCUGCAGGGUAUGAUUCUUGCAGCAGAGAGCGAUUGCACAAGCUGUGAUGUGCAGGACUAGCUGCUCUAUUUUGGCUGAGAAUCCUUUGAGGAUAUUGGUCCCGAUUCCCUACUGUCUGAAACCUUUUGCUAUUUAUACCUGGGUAAAGUGAAUGCCUGGCGAGCAUAAAAUGCCACUACGCUAGUGCUAAAGGAGCUGUUAUCCACUUUGCCCAAAUAUAAAUGACUAUGCAAAAGGUGAAGCAAGUUCAAGGUCUCUCUUUUUGUUAUAGCAUUACCCCUAGAUCCUGCUGCUCGUGGCUGAAUGUGUGAACAGGAGGCUGUGCUUCAGUGGUGGUGGUUUCAGCUCAAGACGUGCAAAUGCAGCGAGAAAGAAGAACACUCAUUUCUUUUCCCACUAUUAGUCAGAGAGAAAAACACGUUUCUUCUUCCCUGAGAAGAGUACAGGGGCAACACAUUUAUUUGCCAGUUUUCUGACAGUCUGAGGUAGAAGAAAGAUACUUGAAAACAUCUGGCAGAGGCAGAAAUGGACACUAUGACUUGCAGUCUCCCUGCACUCGAUAGUGGGUAGUGUAUUAACAUGCCGCGCAUUGGAGAGACACAGUCCUUGAAAUCCUCUGACACUGCAAGCUACUGCUUUUAAACUAGAACAGAGACAGAUAAGGAUAUUGUGAAGGAGAAAUCCAGCAUUGCAUAUUGUAAAACUGAAUCCUUAAAAAAAAAUUUGGUACUUUUGGCAGUGUUUCAUUUAUUGUAAAUAGAAUCCAUAUAUAUUCAUAGAUAUUUUCAAUAGAAUGUAGUGUACUGCUGUUUCUGCUAUCUAAGCAAAUAUCUUGCUGGAGUAAUUUAAAAACAGAUCUGCUUCGUAGCCAGCACUGCACCAAUUUAAUAGUAAUACUGACCCGUGUUAGAGAUCCUGAGCCAGAUUUUGACAGCUGUAAACCUGCUGAAAACAAUGAAGACAUUCAUGAGGUUACCUAGCACAGGUAAGGACAUCGGAAUCUGGCUCUUUCUGAGUAGAGCUGCUUGUGAAUCGUGUUCUGCCAUGCACUCUGCUGUGGAAAGACCAUUUCAAAAAGCAAGGGAUGCAAAUCAUAGGGAAUAACAGGCAUCAUGAAGAAUAAUGCCUAGGUAAACCUCCAUUUAUGUGCCUAUCCAGUUUAUUUAAAUAAUCCACUUUUUGCUGCAGAUAGGAUGUCAUAAUGUUGUUAACAUUGAACCACACCUGGUGGGAUUGUUUUUACGUACCUUCUAGUACAUGUAUACACCUUUUCACGUGCACAUUUCCCUCUGUC
RNAcentral lists this long non-coding RNA (60511 nucleotides) under Gallus gallus (chicken). RNAcentral's name for it is "lncRNA (ENSGALG00010006547.1)". Lineage: Eukaryota; Metazoa; Chordata; Aves; Galliformes; Phasianidae. The record is from RNAcentral.